RNAcentral lists this long non-coding RNA (66882 nucleotides) under Coffea arabica (coffee). Its description in RNAcentral is "long non-coding RNA (CARA_LNC003555)". The record is from RNAcentral. Lineage: Eukaryota; Viridiplantae; Streptophyta; Magnoliopsida; Gentianales; Rubiaceae.
UUUUUUUUUUUUUUUUUUUUGGGGUGUUGGGGGGGGGGGGAACGGUUUGAAUUUGCAAUGGCUAUCUCGUUGUGUAUGCAUGCACCAGAUUCAUAAACUUGUCUAACCCAUAAUUCACUCCUACCAAUUAACCAGGCAUGCAAAUAGACAAAUGGUCAUUCAUUCAGUCGUCAAAUUCACAUGUAAAAAGUUAGCAUUUUUCUUCGAGUAUGUGGGAAAUGUUAAAAUUAAUAAACAUGCUUAUGUUCUCCAUAUCAAUGGUUAGCUUCACCUAGCAGGAAUUUUUACUACUUACAUCAUAAUAUAGACCAAGUGCCGUGUACCUGUGGUAGCCCUCUGAAACAAAGUAGAAUGUUGCAAAAAGAUAGUGCCCAAUGGAGUCAUUUGGCCAUACCUUCACAGAGAUAACCCAGAUGGUUGUGAUUCAUGUCCUUUUUGCCUUGUUCUCCCUUGCGUUGUCAAGCUUCAGCAGGUAAUUGAUUUUCUUAUUGUACCUUCAGAUAUUCUGCUUGUAAGGUGCUCUAAGACAUUUGAGUUAUUAAAAGAAACUGAUCCAUUACAAGGGCCAACUGUAGCUUUCCCAGACAGUCGUUUCACUUAUGAUAUGAAUAUACAGAUUGGUUUAGGAUAGAGUGUUCAUCAAUUAAUAACAAAAGUAGUGGUAGCUUCAGGAUUCAUCAAGUGAAUUGAAUAAUAGAAAAACCUCCCAUCGUACCCAUGUUUUUUUUCCCAGACGUUUGCUUAAUAUAUAUAUAUAGACUAUUAUAUAUAAUAUAAUAGAAGGUCCUACUUUUCAGUUACUCUGUCAGGUAGAAGUUUAAAGCUUCACAUUUUAUUAGCCUCUAAUUCUUGUUUACACAUUUUUUCAUAACUUGACUGCAUCUAGACUAUAGUGCCAAAAAUUCGCACGUGCUCCUCAAAGUUUCCAGUGUAUGCUUUACUGGCUCCUGGUCAAAAAUUCCAAGGAUCUUGAAUGCUACUUGUAUGCUGAAAUAAACUUUAGCAAGUCGUUAUCUUUUCUUCUUUUCUCAAUUUUGUUGUUUUUUUGGGUUUCUUCUUCCUUAUGGGGUGCUCAAUGGGAUCGGGCACUGUUUUGGUUUAACGGAUGGAACUUCACUCUGUUGUUUUGGAAAAGAAAAGAGAAAGCUACUCUGUGGUUGAUGUUUUAAAAUAAUAUAUGGAAAUCAGAAUUUUACUUGGAAGCAAUGUUAUCUGUUAAGUUUUGGUCUUUAUUGGUCUUAGAAUAAAUUAGUUGUACUUAAAUGUUCUUGAUAUUUUGAAAUAGGACUUGCAGGUAAUGUCCCUGCAAUGAAUUGGCUCUUUGCACCAUAAUGGAUGAAGAAUCUACACUUAGCUCUAAACACUUCUAAGAGUUGAGACAGCUUGUCAUUGCCCUCUUAUUCUUUUAAUGUUUUUCUUUUGAGCAGAAUGCUGGACAUACUUGAAAAGUUCCUUAUACGCAAAGGCUGUUGCUUUUCAAGACUUGAUGGAUCUACUCCGACUGGAGUACGCCAGUCUCUUGUUGAUGACUUCAACUCAAGUCCAAGCAAACAGGUUAGUUUUGACAUUUGGAGUCAGUUUUGAUACUGUGAGACUCAAUUUUGUAAUUUGACAUCUUAAUUGCAGGUCUUCCUCAUAUCAACUCGAGCUGGUGGGCUUGGACUCAAUCUUGUUAGUGCAAAUCGUGUAGUGAUCUUUGACCCAAAUCGGAAUCCUGCCCAGGAUUUGCAGGCACAAGACAGGUCAUUCCGUUAUGGGCAGAAGCGGCAUGCCGUUGUUUUCCGUCUUCUUGCAGCCGGUUCUCUAGAGGAACUAGUUUACACCAGGCAGGUUUACAAGCAACAAUUAGCAAAUAUUGCUGUUUCCGGGAAAAUGGCGAAACGUUAUUUUGAUGGCGUGCAGGUACUGUUGCUGUUUUUCUGAUUCUGUGCACAGUUGUCUUCUUAUAUCAUAGUUGUGAUCGUUAAGACUUGGGGGUCCUUGAUCCCUCUUUUCAGGAUUGCAGAGAAUUUCAAGGAGAGCUGUUUGGCGUCUGCAAUUUGUUCCGCGACCUGUCCGAUAAGCUUUUCACCUGUGAAAUAAUUGGAAUUGCAUGAAAAGCAAGCAAUAGAGCAUGGAGAUUGUGAGAGUUCAAAGCAGAUUUUUAGUGAACUUCAGAAGUGUUUUCUUCCACAGAAGGAAUUAACAAAUACGUCUGUGGAAGCAUCUCAGAACAGCAAACCUAAAGAUGCAAGUAAAGAAACAGUCGAACCAGUACUUGAAGACUUGGGUGAGUGUAUUAUUGUCGACUUGGCUUUGAAAAGUUUCUCCUCCAGUUUUUUCAUUAGCAAAAAUGCUAUAGAAAAUGCUGCCUCAUCCAAGAUGAGGAAAAAGAGCCUGUAUAGCCUCCUUGCUCAGUUCAUGGGUAUGGAGGAAGUAGAAUUCAGCAAGUGGUUGCUUUCAGCGAAUCCAGAAGAACGGGAGAAAGUGCUCCGGGACUAUAAGAGGAUAAAGGACAAGAUUCCAAAUGGAUUAUAUCUCUCCUCAUCAGGAAGGCAGAGUUUUUGUAAUGUAAAUUGUCCAUAGAUCAAUAAAUCUUUCCCAAAAUAUGGAAGUCGGUUGCUGUAAUUUCUUCAUUUGGGACUUUAGCCGUGAGUCGCUGUAUGCAUUUGUUUACUGACGUCUGGGUUAAUUCUCUUCAUCCGUUAAUCUUCUUGGUAGUUUUUUCAGAGCAUACUAAUUGAUGCACUUGGAAGACAAGGUUGAAACUCUCUCUCUCUCUUACAAAAACAUAUACAUAUACCUUCUAGUGCGAAAUUCAGUGAUAUCUUCUUCCAAAAAAAAUUAAGGAAACUGAAGUUUCUGGUGUUCAGUUUAUAUAGCACCGUAAGUGUUAAAUUUUCAAUCCUAUCAUUACAAUUCUAUGAUUUUAUGACACAAAAUUGCAAACUCCGGUCUAAUGCUGGUAGGAUUGCUAAUGUAGAAUGUUAUUUGGAGCAUUGCACUCUCGCGAUUUAUGUCUAUUGGACCAUAUAUGUUUUGAUACUUGGGAGUCCUGGAUUAGACCUAAUUCUAUAUCUGUGGAGCUUAUCUUGGGCUCCUCCUGUUGUGUUGUGGAUGGAAAUUAUACAGCCAAAUGCUUUCGUGAUGCUUCCAUGGGAAUUUAUAUUCUUGCCCCUUUUGAUUCUGUUAUCAAGCUGAUUUAUUUCCAUCAAUUCUUUCAGAAGAUAAUGGUAAUUUCUUUCACCGGAGACUAGGGAUCAAUGGAAGAUACAUGCUGCUACAUUGCUUUGUUCAAGAAAGAAACAAAGCUUUUCUUUUUUUCUUACUAGAUUACAAGUGUAGUAGUAACUUUACCCAAAUACAUGAAUGUUGCCACGAAAACAAAAAGUUGGUUUGGUCCUACCUCAACAAACGUCUAUAGAUUCAAUUAUUUCAAUGGUACCCACAAACCGUGUGGUCCAACUUGGAAGUCUUUGCUUGGAGCAGUACUUUUCUAGUUUUCCAACUUGGAAGGAAAUUUCGUUUUGGAAAAACAUGAAAUGAAAGAUAAGUAAUGGAUUCCGUGCUUUGUGACGCUAGCUUUUGAAUGUUGCCCAUCUCUGGCUGCAAAAAAUAUAUAGUUCAACUAUUCAACUUCAACCAAAGCACUUCACCUUCAUCUGUUAAAGAGUUUCACUGAAUAUGGCUGAAGCUGCACUCAGUUGUGUUAGUGUGAUCUUGAAUAAGAUACUUCCACUUGCUGCCGACGAGGUCAGCCGGGUAUGGGGUGUAAAGAAAGACCUUGAGAAGCUUGCCAAGAACGUAGAGAUGAUGGAAGCUUUGAUUUUUGAUGCUAAAUGCAAGCAACCAACAAGCAAAGCCGUGCAGCUCUGGCUCAAAAGGCUCCAGUCCAUAGCACGUCAUGCUGAGAUCGUGUUGGAUGACUUCGGAUAUGAAGUUCUGCGGCAGAAGGUCGAGAAUCGGAAGCGCGACAAGGUACGCAACUUCUUUUCUUCCUCAAAUCCUAUUUCCUUUCGUUUAGAGAUGGCUAACAACAUCAAGAAUGUUAGCGCAUCUCUAGAGGAAGCUUACAGAGAAGCAAAUCAAAUAGGGCUUCAUCCAGCUCAACUACCCAUGACAUCUGCUGAUCACAAAGAGGAUCGGUUGACUGUUCCUUUUCUGGACGAGUCAGAAAUGGUGGGAAGGGAAGUUGAGGUAUCUCAAGUUGUGAGCAUGUUAAUUAGCUCAGAUUAUAAGAAGGAUUUACCUGUCAUCUCAAUAGUUGGGAUGGGUGGCCAGGGUAAAACAACCCUUGCACAGCUGGUGCUAAAAAAUGAGAGUGUAACGAAGCAUUUUGAUAAAAAAAUAUGGGUUUGCGUGUCUGAUGAUUUCAAAGUGGAGAGGCUGUUGAACGAGAUGCUUCAAUCCCUCGGGGAAAAGAAUGCUGAGACGACAAACAAGGAAGCAUUGGUGAGGAAGCUUCAAGAAAAUCUGAAAGGUAAAAGUUGCUUGCUUGUGCUUGAUGAUAUUUGGAAUGACGAUCGAGAGAAAUGGGAUCGCAUGAGGAUAUGUCUGUUGGCAAUAGGGGGUGCUCCAGGAAGCAAAAUAUUGGCUACCACACGUAGUGAUGAGGUAGCCUCAGCAAUGCAAACAUCUGGUGUGCAUCAUCUAGACAUCCUCUCAGAUGAUCAUAGCUGGAUGUUGUUUGAAAAACUAGCUUUUGCAGAUGGUGGUGCAAGAAGGACUCAAGAUCUGGUGGACAUUGGCAGAAGGAUACUGAAAAAGUGCGGCGGCGUGCCAUUAGCGAUCAAAGCGAUUGGGGGUUUGUUGUAUUCCAAAAAGAAUGCCUCGGAAUGGUUGACGAUUGAGAAGACCAAUAUUGCAAAUGGAGUCAUUUCUGUCCUGAAGCUGAGUUACGAGAACUUACCUUCAUGGUCAGUGAAACAAUGCUUUGCAAGUUGUUCCAUUUUUCCGAAGGACGCUCGCAUGGAAAAACACAGCUUGAUACAGAUUUGGAUGGCCCAGGGAUUUAUUAAUGAUGCCAAGGGAGGAGGUCAUUUGCAAAUGGAGGAUAUAGGCAGUGACUAUUUCAACGUAUUGCUUCGGAGUUCUUUGUUGCAAGCUGCUCCUGAGUACGGAAUCGAGUUCUGCCGGAUGCACGACCUUGUGCAUGAUCUUUCACUGCAAGUGUCAAAUAAUUGUUUCUUAAAUACAGAGGAUGGCAUGGUGGUCAAUCAUGAUGAUGAAGUUAUGCAUUUGACCAUCAUUCGGAGUCGAGGGAAGGUGUUAAAGAAGAUCAAAGGGAUUCCUCCAAAUUUGCAAACGCUUUAUUAUCUUGGGGACGGUGGUAUUAUGCUCAAAGAUAUUUUGGAAAGGUCUAGAUACCUUUCUGUAUUAAAAGUAGACUGCUACGAUGUUACUCAUCUCCCGAAUGCAGUGGGUGAUAUGAAACAUUUAAGACAUCUUGAUAUCAGUGAAACUGUAAUCACCGCUCUGCCAGAUUCGAUCACAAAGCUCUACAAUUUGAUGACCUUGAAAAUACGUUACUUGGAAGAGAUACCUAAGAAGUUUAGCAAUUUAAUUAACUUGAGGCAUAUCGAGUUUUCCAAGGUUCUUCGGGGUCGGUCCCAAUGUUUGUUCCCUGGGAUUGGGCAGUUGGCUAAUCUUCGGACGUUGCCCCACUUCGUGGUAAGCCAAGCCAAGGGAUGUCAACUUGAGGAGUUGGAACACUUGCGCAACCUCGGAGGCGAGUUAAGAAUAUUUGGACUUGAGAAUGUGAGCAAUUUUGAAUCCGCAGCAAAAGCAAAUUUGUCCGAAAAAUCAAGCAUUCAAAGUUUAGAAUUUUCAUGGAAUGGCACGAAAGAAGAUUGCGACGACAACAAUAUCAACGGUGUCAUGAAAGGUCUCCAACCUCACCCAGACUUGAAAAGUUUAGCCAUUAAUGGUUUCGAAGGUUCAAGGUUUCCGUCGUGGAUGGUGGCAAAGGAUCACUUGACGGUACUUCGGAAUUUGGUGCACCUCACGUUGAGAGGAUUGGGUAAGUGUGAACAAGUACCACCACUAGGGGACUUGCCUUGUCUCGAGUCCUUAAAGAUGGUCUUCUUACACAAUGUGAAGCGCAUUGGGGCUGAAUUCUAUGGUCUCGAUAUAAAUGCAAGGAGCAGCACUUGUAGUAGAGAGGUGAAAGCAGUCCCUCUGUUUCCGAAACUAUCGCGUUUUGUGCUGUGGGGCAUGGGAAGUCUAGAGGAGUGGUCAGAUGCAAUGGUUCCCUCGGAUUCUUCUUCAUCAAUUAAGUUAUUCCCUAAUCUCCGGGACUUGACAAUUUCCGAUCUCCCCAAGUUGGCUGUUUUACCGGAUAUGGAGAACUUAACAUCUCUUGCGAAGUUAGAGAUACGGGAAUGCGGAAGUUUGGCUUGCCUAAGGAAUUUGAACAGCCUUACAUCUCUUGAAUCCUUGUACUUAAGUGACUGCCCUGCUUUAUUAGAUGCUUCUCUGGAUAUGAAAAACCCCCAAUCCCUACGUACUCUACGCAUCUCAGGAUGUGAUAAGUUGAGGGUCGUUUCUGAUGACCCUGGUUCUUGGCCAAGUAUGGUUCUCCACCAUCUGGCCAACCUCAGAUGGUUGGGACUCGGUGGCUUCUCUGACGACCUUGAUCAUUUCCCGUGGCCACACUCCAUCACCAAUCUCGUCUCUCUGGAGAGUCUUGAAUUGCGUGGAUGGCCAAAAAUCACGUCUCUCCCAGACCAAAUUCAGCAUCUCUCUACCUUGAGAAGGCUAGAGAUAAGGGAGUUUGAGGGGUUGGAAGUUCUUCCAGAGUGGAUGGGUAGGCUUCGGAAUCUUCGAGAAUUGGUGAUUCGUGAUUGCUCUAACCUCAGACAAUUGCCCUCUGCAGAAGCAAUACGACACCUCACCAAUUUAAAUCAUCUACUUAUCGACAUCUGUCCUCUUUUAGCAGAGAGAUGCACCAAAGGAAGUGGCGCAGAGUGGCCCAAGAUUGCACAUAUUUGCCUUUGUAUCGGUAGGAGACUAUGAAAGUUUACUCUCUCUCUCCCUCUUUUUUUUUUUUUUUUGGAGUGGUGAACACUGCUAUCGACUGGCCGAAAUAUAGACAUGCGCAUGUAUUUUAAAAGAAAAAUUACAAAUGACUAGGAACUGAAUGAAAAUUUUGUUUUCAAAGUGUCCAACUAUAGGUAUUUCCCUUGAGCCAAAAGUAGCCUUGCAAGCGUUGUCAGUCAUUCUGGAUUCCAGAAAUUUUUUAUAGGCUGCGUUUGGAUUGAUGAAUUUGGAUCUGAAGAAGGUUUUGAUAAGGAUGGAAGAUUUAAAAUCCUUUGUAAUCCAAUCAUCUUGUUUGGAAAAGAAAACGAUUUGACUAGAGUAUUUCAAAUUCAUUUUCGAAAUUCGCUGUUUCGAUUAAUUAAUCUCUACCAGAAAUUUCAAAUCCUUGCUCUAUUAAAGAAAGACAAUAAUGUUAUAUUUGAUAAAUUUAUAGAAAUAUUUGUUAUAGUGGCUCAUAUUUUGCAUAUUUAGGAUGUCUAAUCAAACAAUGUAUUUACAGCAAAAAUGUUUUGAAAUUUCUCCGAUUAAUAACACAAGAAAUUUUUCGCUGCUAAAUUCUACAAUUUGUCACUGCUACAGUUGAGGUCUAAACUUCGAACUAAGUAUCCUUUCAAAUGAAAAUCUCAUAUUUCUAACAUCACACCUGAAUCCCAUAAGCUCAUGUACAUGGAUGGCCUUUGGCAGAGAAUACUUUGCAGUGAAGUUGGGGAAAAAAAAAAAAAAAGAGAACUACCGAGAGCAAUUCAAUGAGUUUUCAGAAGCCAUCAUCUUCACUGCAAAAUGCGAAACAUGCAGCCCACCUACACUCUGCCAUAAGUUUGGACAGGAAUCAAGAAAAGAACCAAUUCAUUCUUUUUCUUAUUUUGUUUCUAUUUUGAAAUUAUAGACAGCCAAACAAUUGUAUUGAAAAUAUAACUAUUGCAAACUUCAUUUUAGCCAAUAAGAAACAGCAAAAAUCCUGUAUCAGCACCAAAAAGAAGAAGAAAAAAAACAAUUUCCAUCAAAAACUGCAGAGGGCUGCCCAUGCACCCUAAGCAUAGUUAGUGAAAAAUGUAUUGAAAGGAAAAUCGAGCGAGGAAAAGAAAGGAACAAGUCCAUGGUCUGCAAAUGACUGCUUUUUACCUGUCCUUAUCAUUUGAGAAGAAUCUUAGACAUUAGAAAUAAGAAAAGGCUCAAAGUUUUCCCGCUUUAGCAAGUCCCUUGCCUUACAGUACAGGCGAGGAAAGCAAGAGAUUUUUGAUGUUUUGAAAAACACAUGACAUUGCUAGAAAUGUGUCCAGUUUGCAAGAAAUAGAUAGACUCCAAGAUUACCAAUAUCAAUAAUUUGUUUUUCAUUUUGUAACAAAACAUACUCAUUCAUCCCAUGUAAUUCAUCUUCCGCCCGCAAAGAUUGAAUCUUGAGCUGCUUUUGACAUAUAUUCAGUUGUUGAAUUUUGAUAUUUUAAGCAGCAUAAAUCAACUAAAAAAUGUUAGGAGUUUACCUCCCCUGUCACCGGAAAAUAAUUUCCCAGCACUCCCAAGUUUAAUUUAAAAAAAAAAAAAAAGGGAAUCACAUUACACCAUAUCAAUUUUGACUGCUGCUGUCCAGAAUCACAAUCACUGCAGAAGUUUAGCUAAAAAUUAAGGCUUAAAAAGCUAAUUUCAGCCAAAAAAAAAAAGGAAAAAGAAAAGGAAGAAGAAUGAGAAAACAAAUUACAAAAGUAAAAGGUAAAUCAAGCACGCAUAAAUGAUUCAAAACAACAAAUCAUAAAAUCUCGAAGAGAAAGCACAAAAUUUGGAGAUAAAAAAAAAAAAGACAAAGAAAGCCUAAUCACCAAAAAUCUCACUUGUAGCUCAAAAAUUACAAUCAAGAAGAAGCACUUCAAAUACGACGCUGUCUCGAACAAACAAAUCAAGAGUCGUAUUCACAGAAAUUGGUUGAUUAGAGACACCCUAAUCACUAAAUACGGUACGGGGAAGAAAAAAGACACCAUGAGAAUAAUGAGGAAUUACCAUUCUCUAAGCUGGGAAGACUGAAGAGUAGUAGUAAAUUUCAUAGAGUGCAUGAUACAAAAAUAUGAGUGUAGAGACAGUUGGCGCUCGACUUCUCUUCUUCACAAUUGAAUUCACAGAGGAGUGAGUGGGUGACUCAGUCGUGAUCGAGGAGGAGUGGAUUGCUUUGGGGACAGAGUUUGCCAUAGGUUAGAAAUGACAAUGGAUUUCAAAGGACGCCAUUAGUGGACGGAAUUGAAAUUCCUUGAUUAGGCCGAUACUCAAAUACGUCCAAAAUGUGGGUGAAUUUUAAAUCGUUCCCUUGAAAAAAAAAAAAUAACAAUGGCCGUCUUUAAAUUUUAAAACAUUAUUCAACUUUGCUUGUUUUCUCUGAUUAUGGCUUGUGAGAAAUGGAUUGGUCUUGCGGAUGUUGAUUCUACGGAUGAUAUAAACAUUGUUGUCUUUCAUGGCAUGAACAUCAACCUAUUUUCCAAAAACAUAAAAAAGCGUAAAACUCAUAAUUCUACUUGAGGCAUUUUUCUCAUAUCACUAGCUACUUCCUGUUCAUCCUGAAUCAUGAAACUGGCUUAGUGCUAGGUGCAACAGUCGGUUCCCUUGGGUUUGUCUCCAGAUUAUGGGUGUGCUCCAUGAUAGGGCAUAAAUUAUAGUGUGUUUAUAGGUAUAAGUUGCUAGUUAACCAUAUUAUUUGAGCUUUGUCUUAAAUAGAAAUUACUUAAUUUUGCUUUUAUAUUGUUCUAAUAGGUGAAAAGCUCAAUUGGAGGGAAAACGAACUAAAAGCAUGGCUUGAAGAAUCAAUAGAAAAAGAAAAGUCAAGCGAAAGAGGUUUCGUAGGAAUAAUAUGUUUCAAAAUUUUGGCGAUAACUUGAGUUACACAAAUUAGAUUGAGAUGAUUCUUGAUUCAAUUUGAAUUAAGAGAAUGCUCUACAAAUCUUAUGAGACAUUAUGUCCGGUUCUCACUUUUUCAUAGCCAAAAGUUCAAAUUACUGAAGUAUAUUUGUGCUGCGAAAUUCUUUUGACCAGCACUCAGUAUUUUGGGCAUAUCUCAACAUCUAGGCCUCCAAAUGACAUGAUUGUUGUGGCAUUGGAAAGCUAAUUCAAUGUUUUGAGCAAGAGCUGAUUCAACCUUGAUGAUGGAGAUUUUUGGCCUUGAAAUGGAUCUACAUGUGGAUCCGAAGGGAUCCAUCCGCGAAUCUUUAAUAGCCUGUGCCAAUGUUCACGUUGGAGUUGUUCUGGUCAAGUCAUCCAAUGGAACUCCAGCGCCGGAGUUUAGGCGGCUAUUUGUACUGCUGUUUAUAUGAAAAAUGCACGAAAUUGCCAUUUUUUAGCUCCAAUAAGCCUAAUCCUACCCCGUUUCGGAUAAUACUUUAAGAAACUACAAAUAAGUCCUAUUUAGGACAUUUUGAGGGGUGAAAAAUAUUAGUUUAGAUUAGUUUUAACAUCUUUUCAUAGUUUAUUCUUGAGAAAUCAAGAUCAAAUAGAAGUGAAUCAACAGAGCGUGCAAGGAGAUGAUUGGAGCAAGCAACUAAGAAGUUUUCUUACUCUUUUUCUUAUCUAUGUAGCAACUCUUUGAAUUCGUAAUUUUAAUUUCCAAAUCACGUUGAACUAAAUUAUCUCUAGGAUUAGGGUUUUUAUGAAAGAAUUUGAUUAAUUUUUCUAGUUUAAUCUCUUGCCUUUUUCUAUGAUUUAUCUAUCUUGAUUUAAUUACGUGUUUAUGUUUGGCCACCAUAGACAUGCUCUUAGGGUUUGUGUUGAACUGAGAAACGAUAGACAGUCAUACCCUAGAUAGAUAAAUAUACUUACCCUAAUCACGAAAGUAUAUUAGAAUUUGUAUGACGCAUUUAUAUCACUAAAGUUAUUAAAUGAUUUAAUUGAAUACUUGCGAUUUCGAGAGAGACGUAGGAUUUAAUUAGGCACACUUUAGAUGUAUCGAGAGAUAAUUUAAAAUACAAUUAUGUGAUGUGUCCAUGGUUUGAUAAGAAUUAACUAGAUAAUUUAUUCAAAUUUUAGAUUAAAAUCUGAAACCCUAGGCUCGCAUCUAUUGUUUUCUCACCACUACUCUUUGUGAAUUGAUUAUUCCUUUAUUGUUUAGAAAGAAAAUAUAACUCCAUGAAUUUAAAUUUUUUAGUUUGUUAGAAUAACUAGAGUAGAAAAUUAACUCGUGUGGGUUCAACCCUAGAAUACUCCAAGUUAAUUAUUACUACAAUUGACCCUGUGCACUUGCAAGAAUUCGUCGAUCACUCCACAAUCGAACUAGUAAAAGCCUACAUGCCAUUAACAAAUCGACAACAAGAAUUAAAUUACAUCACCAUUUAACAUAGGGUUAUUAUCACUUUACCCUCUUAAACUAUAUCACUACUAUCAGUUUACCCCCUAACGUUAUCUUUUAGUCACUUCACCCCCAUAAGUAAUUCAACUCAACAUGUUAAAAAAUUUUGGACAAAAAUAUCUUUUUAUUCUAUAGCAUUAUUGCAUUGUUAUUAUUAUUAUUUUUCCUUUAAAUUAUAGUAAUAUAAUCGAUUUAAUUUCUAACAUUAUUUUCUUGGCAUUUUACUUCAUCAUUAAUCUAAGUACUAUGGUCAAAAAUUUUUAAAUAUAUUUACCUUUAUAUAUAUAAUUAAAAUAAAAAAUUUAGAAUGAGUAUUCUUCUUUUUUUCACUUUAAGAGAUCAAAAAAUAUAAAAAUAAAAGGAUUUUUUCAAAUUUUUUUUUCGCACUUAUUAAUACUAUGAAAAGAAAAAGAGAUAGGAAAGAAGGAGACGGAAAAUUAGAUUUUGCAAAGAAAAAAAAUCUAACAUUAUCAUAUUAAUUUAAGGUUGUUGGGAUUAGAAUUGAAAUCUGGUGGUAAACAGUAAAGUGAAAUAAUUUUAAAAUAAUAAAAGUAUUUAAUUCUUGCUAAAUUGGUUUAAUGGUGGGAUAAAUUAUUUAAAAAAUAACUCUAUGUGGUAAAUUGAUAAUAAAACUAUAGUUUAUGGGGGUAAAAUGACAAUAACUUUAAGGGCUAAACUUGUCUUUUUACUUUAAUUAACAAACUCCAUUAAGUUUGACCGUUAGUCUUGCAGGUAAAGUGACUAAAAGAUAACGUUAAGGGGAAAAUUGAUAGUGCCACCAAACGUUAAGGGAGUAAAAUGAUAAUAACCCUUUAACAUAUAGCUGAUGCAUGAAAAACUGUCACCCCAUGGAUACAUGCCUUACUGCUACUGGUACUUGGUUCUGUUGUCUUAAACCCUGUAGGGAAAUCAAAGAAGCACAUAUUAACAGAAGAAUGAUUUGUGUAAAUUCUUCUUGGUUUUCCUUGUGCUUUUGAAGAAAAUCAAAGAAGACCUCUAAAUGUGCACUGGAAGAAGUACAUAUAUGUACUGAGAUUAGUAUUUGUUGUAUUGAAUGUGUUAUAUUGGAGAUUAAUUUGGUUAUAUGUGCUUGUCGUAAAUGAUAGUUUGACCUUGUCUUUUGUAUUAAGAGCUGCUGCAACAUGUUAUGUGUAUUUGUUUUACGUCGAGUGUUUCAACUUUCUACUUCCAAUUUUGUUUUGCACCAGCUUUCCUAAUGAAUUGGUAUUGGCUAUUCUUUUGACGAUUUAUGAUGGAGGACUAGUAAUGAGUUGGUAUUGUUUGUUGUAGUGUAUGGAGAAUGCUUUUCCUCCAUGCUCAUAUAGAUUUAGUUAGUAGGAUUAAUGAAUACAUUUGUGAAUUUCCUAUGAGCUAGAAGACUAUGUCUGCGGUAACAGGUAUUUGAUUUCCUCCACAACUGUUUGAGGUAUUGGCAGAUUUUGGGGUAAUGUCUUCUAUUUGGUGUUUGAACUUGAAAUCUGUGGAAAAGUUUUUUUUGUUCUUCUUUUUCAGAAAUGGACGUUUGAAAAUUCUUGAAGUUCUGAUUGUGCAUAUCUUCUGCUGUUAUUUGAAUAAAUUGGUUCCUGCUUCUUGUUUCUUUAUUCCUUCCAUUUUUCUUAUUACUAUUCACUUUUUCGUUCCUUCAUGGAUUUCAAAUUGUUGCAGUGACAGUCAUCUACGUUUUCCCUACCCAACACAUUUGAUUGAGUGAGUCCGACUUUGUGAUGUUUCGGACCAUUUUAUAUUAAUCCUUUAGGCUUAAUGUAUAAGUGAAAAAUGUUAAUUUGCUUUUACAGGUUCCUGCAACUAUUAAUUGCAGACUCUUAGAACAUCAGCGAGCUGGUGUUAAAUUUUUAUAUAAUUUAUGAAGGUGUUUUGGGAGAUGACAUGUGAGUUUAAAUUUUCUUUCCACAUAUUUCAUUUGCUCUUUCCUUUCCUUCUUUGGUAUGCAGUUCUGUCGGUCAUGACAUCCUGUAACUUGUUCAGCCAACCAAAAAAAAAAAAAGGGAAUACGAAAAUUGGAAAUGGUAGAGAAGGGCACAAGUAUUUAGAUAGGUUAAUUAGGAUACAAGAAAAGCACCAAAAAGAUGCUUUGGCAUCACUCUUGGAUUUUUUUCACUACAAGUAAGAUUUGAACCCUUGGAUUUUUUUCACUACAAGUAAGAUUUGAACCCUCACCUACAUCCAGGAAAGAACUUAAGACCCUCCUUGAUGGCCACUGAGCCAAGCUUAGUGGUUAUAUAAAUAAACCAAAUUUUGCUAGUGAGACUAGUAUAUUUUGCUUCUGCGUCCUCUUACCCGCUCUACAUUGGUUAAUUUGAAAUGAUUUUGCGGCACUAGACUUGGAAAAGGCUUACUAAGGGGUAUUGUCUGAUAAAGCGGUAUCCAACCUUCUCAUCAAGCAUUCUUCUCUUUUUACAUUGCUUCUUUGUUAUUAUCAUUACUAUAUAUAAAAAGUACCAUGAGCCUUGAUACCUUGGAGUGCGAGUGUAAUUUCUGUUGUGAUCUUACUUUCUAUUAUUUCAGUUAUGCCCUUAUUAAUUUGUGGUUAAAGUUUCGUAUAAUCUUAAUUGUAGGUGAUUUAGAAGAAAAUAAUGGUUGAUUAUUAAGGUCACUAUAUUAUAUCGUACCAUAUUGAUUUGGAAAGAAACAUCUCCUUAAGGCUAUAAACAAUCAAAUGAUUUGAGAAACAUUUGCUGGAUGAAUUAUAUAAGUUGUACACAUCUAAUUCAGAAGGAGAAGAAUUUUAAUGUUCCACCCAAUGGAAUUUCAAUAUACAAAAAGUUAUAACAACUUUAUAAUUGAAAUAGCAAUAUUAAACUGGAAAAAAAAAAAUCUGAAGUAGAACCAUACAAAUCAUUAUUAUCAUUAGUAGCAACCCCUCAAAACACGAAAAACUAAAAGAAAAAGCUGAAAACAAUUCAUAAAAUAACAUAAAGUGAAUAAUAAAUACAUGAAAAAGCUGAAAAUACAAUUCAAAUAAUGCCAAAGAUAAUAUCCAAAUUAAUCACUGAUAUCCUAAGGAAGACAAGCAUUUUUAUUGGCAACAAAAUAUAAUACUUCAUUUGUAUUGGUUUAAAUAUACCAAGUCCAUCUAUCAAGUCAUGCAGAAGCUAUCUCCAAUGAUAAAAUAAGAAUUAUAAUAAGAGUAAACUUAAAAUGAAGACGGAUAUCCAAAUUAUUUUUUGUGAUGCCCAAAAUACCCUUAUUUUUCUAAUGAUUACAUAUAUUUAUUAUAUUGCAAUAUUAGUGAAAAAUGGUAGCAGUUAUGAAAUGAAAAACUUUAAAAUAAAGUAAAUUUCAUUUAUGGUGAUAAUUGUAAUUAGACAGAUUUAGUACAUUUUAUUAAUUGACAAUAAUGGUAGAGGUUAUGGAUUACAAGCUGGCAAUUGAAAAAAAUAAGACACUGUAAUAUAUUAAAAAAUUUAAUUAGCUAGAAUUCGCAUUCCAAUUCCAUGAUCAACAAAAACACUAAUACUGAAACCAAAAAUAUUGUGCUCAUAUAAAAGUAGACUUGUUCCUUUUGUUUUGUAUUGGAUUGUGCUAAAAAAUAUGAUUAAAAGAAAAGAAAAAUGGAAAAAAUCCAACUAUCUCUAUCUACUAAAUUUCAAUUGUCAGAAUGUGCAGAUCGAAAAAAGCUUUAUGUGGUGGAUUAUUUAUACUCCAUUAUUGAUAAAAAUAACAAUAAAAGAAUAUAAAGAAUUCAAGUUACAUGUAUAUUUAUUUUUUUUGGCUAAAUUGUAUUCUUUGUUUAUAAAAAAUUGUGACGAUUGUGAUUUAUAUGUAAUAAAAUCAUAAAUAUACAACAACUUUAUUAUAAUAUGAUAUUAUCAAUAUUUGAUAUGUUAGAGUUCAAGCAAUAAAUCAAAUAAUGUUUGGUUCAUGAUUCUAAAUUAAUCAUAAGGGACAUAUUAACGAUACUGGAAUGCUUUUUAUCUCUUUCCAUUUAAUAAAAAUUUUAAAAGUAACUAACUAAAGAAAAAAAAUAACAGAAAAACAUACUAUAUUUUUCACAAAUUUUUAGUAUCCAAAAAAUAAUAUAUUUUUGGAUAUUAUAAUCACGUGCAAAGCACAUGAAUUAUUACUACUAGUUACUAUAAAGUUUUCAGAAUUGUGUGAUGAAGAAUGUAGGUUCUUAAGUUAGUACUGAAUCAUCACUUUCGUAAAUCCCAUUGAACUUGCUAACUUAAUCAUCAAAGUUUGGUAAAUCCCAUUGAACUUAGUGUUACUCCUAAUUAUCUUCUAAUGUCAUUUUCUUUUUCUGAGUCAAAAACUCUUGUUUAUCAGGGGAUUGGGCAAGACAAUCCGGACAAUUGCAUUUUUAGCUGCUGUUUUUGGAAAGGACGAAGAAGCUGAUAACUUAACAUGAUUGAGGGGAAAUCGGCCUGAGAAGACUGGCUGUGUUCUAAUUUUUUUGUCCGACAUCUGUUAUUCACAAUUGGGAGAAUGAAUUUUCUAAGUGGGCACCGUUCUCUAUCGCUGCUUAUCAUGGAACUAACCGUGAUUUAAUAAUUGACAAACUAGAAGCUUGAGAAGUGGAGAUAUUGAUAACUAGUUUUGACACCUACAGCAUUCACGGUACUAUAUUGUCAAAAGUUCAAUGGGAGAUAGUGAUUGUUGAUGAGGCACACAUGCCAAAGAAUGAGAAGUCAAAACUCUACAGAGCAAUUUCAGAGACUAAAACCCAGAAACGAUAUGGUUUGACAGGAACAUUAAUGCAGAAUAAACCAAUGGAAUUGUUCAAUUUGUUUGAAUGGGUAGUACCCUGUUGCGUAGGAACACAUGAACAUUUCAAGGAGUUUUUUGAUGAACCUCUCAAGCAUGGCCAAAGGCCAAGUGCCCCAGAAAGAUUUAUUAGAGUUGCUGAUGAGCGAAAAGAGCACUUGGUGACAGUAUUACGUAAGUAUUUGUUGAUGAUGACCAAGAAGAAAACCGUUGGGCAUCUUAUGAUGGGAAAGGAGGAUAAUGUUGUAUUCUGUGUCAUGAGUGAGUUGCAGAAACGGGUAUACCAGAGAAUGUUACAGCUACCUGAUAUCCAAUGCCUUAUUAAUAAGGACCUUCCAUGUAGCUGUGAUAGCCCUCUGAAACAAUUAGAUAGUGCCCAAUGGAGUCAUUUGGCCAUGCCUUCACAGAGAUAACCCAGAUGGUUGUGAUUCAUGUCCUUUUUGCCUUGUUCUCCCUUGCCUUGUGAAGCUUCAGCAGGUAAUUGAUUUUCUUAUUGUACCUUCAGAUAUUCUGCUUGUAAGGUGCUCUAAGACAUUAGAGUUAUUAAAAGAAACUGAUCCAUUACAAGGGCCAACUGUAGCUUUUUUACCUUUAUUUUUCGGGUAGAAUGCAUUUUUUCAUGGUCAAUAGGAUGACAGGAGAUGGCUGACUACCACCACUUACAGUUAUAUCUUAUAAUCACUCGAGCAAGGCCAUGUGGCUACCGUUUCGCUUAAGAUAUGAAUGUACAAGUUGGUUUAGGACAGAGUGUUUAUCAAUUAAUAACAAAAGUAGUGGUAGCUUCAGGAUUGAUCAAGUGAAUUGAAUGAAAGAAAGACCUCCCAUCAUACCUAUGUUUUUUCCCCCAGAUUUUUGCUGCUUUAUAUGUAUGUGUAUAUACAUAUAUAUAUUUAUAUCUUUAUUUAACACUUGUCUGAUAGGUGAGUGAUCACUUAGAGCUCAUCAAACCAAAUCCAAAGGAAGAUCCUGAUAAACAAAGGAAAGAUGCAGAGUUCGCCGCUGCUGUAUUUGGUACAGACAUUGAUUUGGUGGGAGGACAUACCCAGGAUAAGAGUUUUAUGGGUCUAAGUAAUGCCAAACAUUGUGGUAAGAUGAGGGCUCUGGAAAAAUUAAUGUUCUCAUGGCUUUCCCGGGGUGACAAGGUCCUACUUUUCAGUUACUCUGUCAGGCAGAAGUUUAAAGCUUCACAUUUGAUUAGCCUCUAAUUCUUGUUUAUGCAUUUUUUUCAUAACUUGACUGCAUGUAGACUAUAGUUGCAGUUUCCCUUCUCACGUGCCAAAAAUUCGCACGUGCUGCUCAAAGUUUCCAGGGUAUGCUUUACUGGCUCCUGGUCAAAAAUUCCAAGGAUCUUGAAUACUACUUGUCUCCUAAAAUAAACUUUAGCAAGUCGUUAUCUUUUCUUCUUUUCUCAAUUUUGUUGUUUUUUUGGGUUUCUUCUUCCUUAUGGGGUGCCCAAUGGGAUCGGGCACUGUUUUGGUUUAACGGAUGGAACUUCACUCUGUUGUUUUGGAAAAGAAAAGAGAAAGCUACUCUGUGGUUGAUGUUUUAAAAUAAUAUAUGGAAAUCAGAAUUUUACUUGGAAGCUAUGUUAUCUGUUGAGUCUUGGUCUUUAUUGGUCUUCGAAUAAAUUAGUUGUACUUAAAUGUUCUUGAUAUUUUGAAAUAGGACUUGCAGGUAAUGUCCCUGCAAUGAAUUGGCUCUUUGCACUAUAAUGGAUGAAGAAUCUACACUUAGCUAUAAACACUUCUAAGAGUUGAGACAACUUGUCAUUACCCUCUUAUUCUUUUAAUGUUUUUCUUUUGAGCAGAAUGCUGGACAUACUUGAAAAGUUCCUUAUACGCAAAGGCUGUUGCUUUUCAAGACUUGAUGGAUCUACUCCGACUGGAGUACGCCAGUCUCUUGUUGAUGACUUCAACUCAAGUCCAAGCAAACAGGUUAGUUUUGACAUUUAGAGUCAGUUUUGAUACUGUGAGACUCAAUUUUGUAAUUUUACAUCUUAAUUGAAGGUCUUCCUCAUAUCAACUCGAGCUGGUGGGCUUGGACUCAAUCUUGUUAGUGCAAAUCGUGUAGUGAUCUUUGACCCAAAUUGGAAUCUUGCCCAGGAUUUGCAGGCACAAGACAGGUCAUUCCGAUAUGGGCAGAAGCGGCAUGUCGUUGUUUUCCGUCUUCUUGCAGCCGGUUCUCUAGAGGAACUCUUUACACCAGGCAGGUUUACAAGCAACAAUUAGCAAAUAUUGCUGUUUCUGGGAAAUGGCGAAACGUUAUUUUGAUGGCGUGCAGGUACUGUUGCUGAUUUUCUGAUCUGUGCACAGUUGUCAUCUUAUAUCAUAGUCGCGAUCGUUAAGACUUGGGAUCCUUGAUCCCACUUUUCAGGAUAGCAGAGAAUUUCAAGGAGAGCUGUUUGGUAUCUGCAAUUUGUUCCGCGACCUGUCUGAUAAGCUUUUCGCCAGCGAAAUAAUUGAAUUGCAUGAAAAGCAAGGAAUAGAGCAUGGAGAUUGUGAGAGUUCAAAGCAGACUUUUAGUGAACUUCAGAAGUGUUUUCUUCCACAGAAGGAAUUAACUAAUACGUCUGUGGAAGCAUCUCAGAACAGCAAACCUAAAGAUGCAACUAAAGAAACGGUCGAACGAGUACUUGAAGACUUGGGUGAGUGUAUUAUUGUCGACUUGGCUUUGAAAAGUUUCUCCUUUAGUUUUUUUCGUUGGGAAAAGGUUUGUCAAAGUAUCUAUUAGAACGUAAUAGGCUGGGACUAGUUUGUCACAGUGUAACUUAUGCUGUAAUAUUCUGUUCAGGUAUUGUAUACGCUCACCGAAAUGAAGAUAUUGUUAAUUACGGACCUGGGAUUCAAGGAGAUAAAGAAUUGGAUACGAAUUUAAAGGACACUGUGCAACAUUCGCUUUUUCUUGUUGCCAGGAGGAGGAAAUCAGAAGCAGUAGCAGGUAGCAAAAAUACUAUAGAAAAUGCUGCCUCAUCCAAGAUGAGGAAAAAGAGCCAGUAUAGCCUCCUUGCUCAGUUCAUGGGUAUGGAGGAAGUAGAAUUCAGCAAGUGGUUGCUUUCAGCGAAUUCAGAAGAACGGGAGAAAGUGCUCUGGGACUAUAAGAGGAGAAAGGAUAAGAGAUUCCAAAUGGCUGAUAGCUGCCCUCAUCAGGAAGGCAGAGUUUUUGUAAUGCAAAUUGUAACACUUUUCAGGCCAAAUUAACUCUGGCAGCAGGCGGUAUCCUUCUGGCCUCAUUGUAACAUACUGUAAGAUCAAUAAAUCUUUCCCAAAAUCUGGGACUUUAGCCGUGAGUCGCUGUAAGCACUUGGAAGUUUUUUAAGUGCUUACAAGACAUCUACUUUCUUGUGCUUAAAAGACAAAGUUGAAACUCUCUCUCUCUUACAAAAACAUCUACCUUCUAGUGCGAAAUUCAGUGAUAUCUUCUUCCAUAAACUUAAAAAUUAAAGGAAACUAAAGUUUCUGUUUUUCAGAAGCACCCUAAGUGUUAAAUUUUCAAUCCUGUCAUUACAAUUCUAUGAUUUCAUGACAUAAAAUUGCAAACUCCGGUCUCAAUGCUGGUAGGAUUUCUAAUGUAGACUGUUAUUUGGAGCAUUAGACUCUUGCGAUUUAUGUCUACGUUUGAUACUUGGGAGUCCUGGAUUAGACCUAAUUCUAUAUCUGUGGAGCUUAUCUUGGGCUCCUCCUGUUGUGUUGUGGAUGGAAAUUAUACAACCAAAUGCUUUUGUGAUGCUUCCAUGGGAAUUUAUAUUCUUGCUCCUUUUGAUUCUCUUAUCAAGCUGAUUUAUUUCCAUCAAUUCUUUCAGAAGAUAAUGGUAAUUCUUUCACCGGAGACUAGGGAUCAAUGGAAGAUACAUGCUGCUACAUUGCUUUGUUCAAGAAACAAACAAAGGCUUUCUUUUUCUUUGGGUAAUGUAAUGUAAGCAUAGAGGCACAGAUAAGUUUUGUCACAUGUGCAGAGAUGAUUGAAAAUGCAUUACUCGAUUGCAAGUGUAGUAGUAACUUUACCCAAAUACAUGAAUGCUGCCACGAAAACAAAAAGUUGGUUCGGUCCUACCUCAACUAACGUCUAUGGACUGAAUUAUUUCAAUGGUACCCACAAGCCGUGUGGUCCUGAAUUGGUCGUUGGACAUCAUCUCUAGUCUUUUCUUGGAGCAGUACAUUUCGUUUUGGAAAAAGAUGAAAUGAAAGAAAAGUAAUGGAUUCCCUGCUUUGUAACGCUGGCUGUUGAAUGUUGACCAUCUCUGCCUGCAAAAAAUAUUAGUUCAACUAUUCAAACUUCAAACAAAGCAUUUUACCUUCACCUGUUAAAGAGUUUCACAGUCGAUGGCUGAAGCUGUACUUAGUUUUGUUAGUGUGAUCUUGGAUAAGAUACUUCCACUUGCUGCCGAUGAGAUCAGCCGGGCAUGGGGUGUAAAGAAAGACCUUCAGAAGCUUGCCGACAAUGUACGGACGAUGGAAGCUUUGAUUUUUGAUGCUGAAUGCAAGCAAUCAACAACCAAAGCCACCAAAGCCGUGCAGCUCUGGCUCAAAAGGCUCCGGUCUAUAGCACGUGAUGCUGAGAUCGUGUUGGAUGACUUCAGAUAUGAAGUUCUGCGGCAGAAGGUUAAGAAUCGGAAGCGCGACAAGGUACGCAACUUCUUUUCUUCCUCAAAUCCUAUUUCCUUUCGUAUAGAGAUGGCUAACAAGAUCAAGAAUGUUAGCGCAUCUCUAGAGGAAGCUUACAGAAAAGCAAAUCAGAUAGGGCUUCAACCAGCUCAACUACCCAUGACAUCUGCUGAUCGCAAACAGGAUCGGUCGACUGAUCCUUUUGUGGACGAGUCACAAACGGUGGGAAGGGAGGCUGAGGUAUCUGAAGUUGUGAGCUUGUUAAUUAGCUCAGACUAUGAGAAGGAUUUACCCGUCAUCUCAAUAGUUGGGAUGGGUGGCCAGGGUAAAACAACCCUUGCACAGAUGGUGCUAAAAAAUGAGAGUGUAACGAAGCAUUUUGAUAAAAAAAUAUGGGUUUGCGUGUCUGAUGAUUUCAAAGUGGAGAGGCUGUUGAACGAGAUGCUUCAAUCCCUUGGGGAAAAGAAUGCUGAGACGACAAACAGGGAAGCAUUGGUGAGGAAGCUUCAAGAAAAUCUGAAAGGUAAAAGUUGUUUGCUUGUGCUUGAUGAUAUUUGGAAUGAGGAUCCACUGAAAUGGGAUAGCAUGAGGAUAUGUCUGUUGGCAAUAGGGGGUGCUCCAGGAAGCAAAAUAUUGGCUACCACACGUAGUGAUGAGGUAGCCUCAGCAAUGCAAACAUCUGGUUUGCAUCAUCUAGACAUCCUCUCAGAUGAUCAUAGCUGGAUGCUGUUUGAAAAACUAGCUUUUGCAGACGGUGGUGCAAGAAAGACUCAAGAUCUGGUGGACAUUGGCAGAAGGAUACUGAAAAAGUGUGGCGGCGUGCCAUUAGCGAUCAAAGUGAUUGGGGGUUUGUUGUAUUCCAAAAAUGAUGCCUCGGAAUGGUUGAAGCUUGAGAAGAGUGAAAUAUGGAACGAGUCGGCCAAUAUUGCAAAUCGAGUCAUGUCUGCCUUGAAGCUCAGUUACGACAACUUACCUUCAUGGUCAGUGAAACAAUGCUUUGCAAGUUGUUCCAUCUUCCCGAAGGACGCUGACAUGGAAAAAGAAAGCUUGAUACAGAUUUGGAUGGCCCAGGGAUUGAUUAAUGAUGCCAAGGGGGGAGGAGGUCAUUUGCAAAUGGAGGAUAUAGGCAGCGACUACUUCAACAUAUUGCUUCGGAGUUCUUUGUUGCAAGCUGGUUAUAAGAAUUCCUUUAAUGAAAUCGAGCGCUGUCGGAUGCACGACCUUGUGCAUGAUCUUUCACUGCAAGUGUCAAAUAAUCGUUUCUUCAAUACAGAGGAUGGCAUGGAAGUCAGUCAUGAUGAUGAAGUUAUGCAUUUGACCAUCAUUGGGAGUCAAGGGAAGGUGUUAAAGAAUAUCGAAGGGAUUCCUCCAAAUUUGCAAACGCUUUAUUAUCGUGGGGGUGAUGGUAGUAUGCUCGAAGACAUCUUGGAAAGGUCUAGAUACCUUUGUGUGUUAAUAGUAGACUGCGAGGAUGUUACUCAUCUCCCGAAUGCAGUGGGUGAUAUGAAACAUUUAAGACAUCUUGAUAUCAGUCGAACUGGUAUCACCGCUCUGCCAGAUUCGGUCACAAAGCUCUACAAUUUGAUGACCUUGAAAGUACGUUGCUUGGAAGAGAUACCUAAGAAGUUUUGCAAUUUAAUUAACUUGAGGGAUUUCGAGUUUUCUAUGGAGGAGGACGGAUGUUUGUUCCCUGGAAUCGGGCAGCUGGCUAAUCUACGGACGUUGCCCCCCUUCAGGGUAAGCCAAGACAAUGGAUGCCAACUUGAGGAGUUGGAACACUUGCGCCACCUCGGAGGCGAGUUAAGAAUCUAUGGACUCGAAAAUGUGAGCAGCUUUGAAUCCGCAGCAAAAGCAAAGUUGUCCGAAAAAUCAAGCAUUCAAAGUUUAAGACUUUCAUGGGAUGGCACGAAAGAAGAUUGCGACGACAACAAUAUCAACAGUGUCAUGGAAGGUCUCCAACCUCACCCAGACUUGAAAAGUUUAGCCAUUUGGCGUUUCGAAGGUUCAAGGUUGCCGUCGUGGAUGGUGGCAAAGGAUCACUUGACGGUACUUCGGAAUUUGGUGCACCUCAAGUUGAGCAUGUUGGGCAAGUGUGAACAAGUACCACCACUAGGGGACUUGCCUUGUCUCGAGUCCAUAAAGAUGGUCUCCUUACACAAUGUGAAGCGCAUUGGGGCUGAAUUCUAUGGUCUCCUUGCACAUCUCGAUAUUAAUGCAAGGAGCAGCGCUUCUUGUAGUAGCAGCACCAGUAGCAGAGAGGCGAAACCAAUCACUCUGUUUCCAAAACUAAGGCGUUUUGUGCUGCAGGACAUGGGAAGUCUGGAGGAGUGGUCAGAUGCAAUGGUUCCCUCGGAUUCUUCUUCAUCAAUUAAGGUAUUCCCUAGUCUCCGGAACUUGGAAAUCGAAGGGCUCCCCAAGUUGGCUUUUUUACCAGAUAUGGAGAACUUAACGUCUGUUACGGAGUUGAGGAUAAGGGAAUGCAGAAGUUUGGCUUGUCUAAGGAAUUUGAAUAGCCUCACAUCUCUUGAAUCCUUAGUCUUAGGAGGCUGCCCUGCUUUAUUAGAUGCUUCUCUGGAUAUGAAAAACCCCCAAUCCCUACGUACACUAAGCAUCUCAGGAUGUGAUAAGUUGAAUCCUUCAUUGAGUAAUAAUCUUGAGAAGUUCACAUCGCUCGAGCGGUUGACGAUCCAUUCUCAUGACCCUGGUUGUUGGCCAAGUAUGGUUCUACACAGUCUAGCCAACCUCCGUGAGUUGGAACUCGGUGGCUUCUCUGACGACCUUGAUCAUUUCCCGUGGCCACACUCCAUCACCAAUCUCGUCUCGCUGGAAACACUUGUAUUGCGUGGGUGGCCAAAAAUCACGUCUCUCCCAGACCAAAUUCAGCAUCUCUCUACCUUGAGGAUGUUAGAGAUAUGGGCGUUUGGGGGGUUGGAAGUUCUUCCAGAGUGGAUGGGCAGCCUUCGGAAUCUUCGAUACUUGGUGAUUAUUGAUUGCUCUAACCUCAGACAAUUGCCCUCUGCAGAAGCAAUACGACACCUCACCAAUUUAGAUGCACUGGGUAUCUACAGGUGUCCUCUUUUAGCAGAGAGAUGCACCGAAGGAAGUGGCGCAGAGUGGCCCAAGAUUGCACAUAUUCCCCAAGUUUGGCUGUAACUGUAAGUAGUUAAUAUUUCCAAUGUUCUGUUUUAAUCUCUACUUAUUCAGUUUGUUUAGAAUUCUAUUAGUACUUUUUUUUUUUUCUUAUAUAUAAUCCCCGGAAGGAAAAAGGAAAUAAAAAACGCUACUGCUUCCUUUUAAAUGGCCAUAUCAAUAAUGUCAAAUCCUGACUCUUCCUUCAAUUGCUCUUUACAUUUUCUUUUCCGUAGAUUCUUUCCUCCUCCUCCUUAUCAUUCAUUCUUUUUUUUUUUUUUUAAAGGGUCAGAAUCAAGGCAUCGUCUUCCACGUCGUGAACAGAAAAUGCUCAUCCGUCCGUCACACAAAAAAAAAAGAAGAGCAGUUUUCUCAAACCGCCUUAUUAUUGAUACCAGGUGUCUGCUGAUUGUCUCAUUUAUUAUCUCUCCUUUGAGGUGCAUCUCUGUUUUUGUUUCAAGCUGUAACUUAUGAAGAUGGACACGAACCGGAAAAGUUGAAAGACAGAUUCAUUAAAGUAUUGAUAGACAUUUUCCUUUUUAAAUAGAAAGAUUCAUUACAUUGUCUAAAAGACUUCAAUGCACCAGGUUUUUAGUACUAGUAGUUAUAGUAGUAGACUAGUAGGUAUUUCCCUUGAGCCAAAAGUAGCCUUGCAAGCGUUGUCAGUCAUUCUGGAUUCCAGAAAUUGUUUAAUAAGGCUGCGUUUGGAUUGAUGAAUUUGGAUCUGAAGAUGGUUUUGACAAGGAUGGAAGAUUCAAAAUCCUUACCUUUGUAAUCCAAUCAUCCACUGUUUCGAUUAAUUAAUCUCCAUCUCCACCAGGAAUUUCAAAUCCUUGCUCUAUUAAAGAAAGCCAAUCAUGUUAUAUUUGAUAAAUUUGUAGAAAUAUUUGUUAUAGUGGCUCAUAUUUUGCAUAUUUAGGCUGUCUAAUCAAACAGUGUAUUUAUAGCAAAAAAAUGUUUUUAAAUUUCUCUGAUUAAUAACACCAGAAAUUUUUCACUGCUAAAUUCUUUUGCUCUCAAUCCUGCUAUUUACCCAUCCAAUUUGUCACUGCUACUGUCGAGGUCUAAACUUCGAACCAAGCAUCCUUUCCAAUGAAAAUCUCAUAUUUCUAACGUCACAUCAUUCUGAAUGCCGUAAGCUCAUGUGGCAAACUCCAUCCAAGUUUUGGCUACAUUUUCUUGAAGCGGUACAGAUUCCAAUACAUCACCAUAUGCCUACAGACAACCUUAAGGAAAUGAUGGCAUCUUGAUUGACAUUUUAACAUGAAGAAUGGUUAUUCACUCCGCUUCUUCCUUCUCAGUCACACUACUGAUAGGCUGAAGUAAUAUAUUGCUUUUGAUUGAAUUUGAUUUGUAGAGCAUGGCCUUAGGCGGAGAAUACUUUGCAGUGAAAUAGGGAAAGGAAAAAAACUACCAAGAGCAAUUCAAUGAGUUUUCAGAAGCCAUCAUCUUCACUGCAAAAUGCAAAAACAUGCAGCCCAACUACACUCUGCCAUAAGUUGGAAAGGAAUCAAGAAAAGAACCAAUUCAUUCUUUUUCUUAUUUUGUUUCUGUUUUGAAAUUAUAGACAGCCAAUCAAUUGUAUUGAAAUAUAACUGCUGAGUGCUGAGGGCUGCCCAUGCACCCUAAGCAUAGUCAGUGAAAAAUGUAUUGAAAGGAAUGGUUAUUCACUCCGCAGCAUGAAUCAACUAAAAUGUUAGGAGUUUACCUCCCCUGGGCUGGGAAAUUAGCCCUCCCAAGUUUAAUUAAAAAAAAGGAAUCACAUUACACCAUAUCAAUUUUGACUGCUGCUGUCCAGUAGCACAAUCACUGAAGAAGUUUAGCUAAAAAUUAAGGCUUAAAGCUAAUUUCAGCCAAAAAAAAAAAAAAGGGGAAAAGAAAAGGGAGAAGAAUGAGAAAACAAAUUACACAAGUAAAAGGUAAAUCAAGCACGCAUAAAUGAUUCAAAACAACAAAUCAUAAAAUCUCGAAGAGAGAGCACAAAUUUUGGAGAUAAAAAAAAAAAAAAAAAAAAAAGACAGAAAAAGCCUAAUCACCAAAAAACCCACUUGUAGCUCAAAAUUACAAUCAAGAAGAAGCACUUCAAAUACGACGCUGUCAGGAACAAACAAACAUCAAGAGUCGUUUUCACAGAAAUUGGUUGAUUAGAGACACCCUAAUCACCAAAUAUGGGGAAGAAAAAAGGCACCAUGAGAAUAAUGAGGAAUUACCGUUCUCUAAUCUGAGAUGACUGAAGAGUAGUAGUAAAUUUCAUAGAGUGCAUGACAAAGAAAUAUUAGUGGAGAGAGAGAGAGAGAGUUGGAGCUUGACUUCUCUUCUUCACAAUUCACAGAGGAGUGAGUGGGUGACUCAGUCGUGAUCGAGGAGGAGUGAAUUGCUUUGUGGACAGAGUUUGCGACAGGUUAGAAAUGAUAGUGGAUUUCAAAGGACGCCAUUAGUGGACGGAAUUGAAAUUCCUUGAUUAGACUUAGGCGCCUGUACUCAAAUACGUCCAAAAUGUGGGUGAAUUUUAAAUCCUUCCCUUAAAAAAAAAACUAUGGCCGUCUUUAAAUUUUAAAACAUUAUUCAACUUUGCUUGUUUUCUCUGAUUAUGGUUUGCGAAACACGGAUUGGUCUUAUGGAUGUCGAUCCUACGGAUGAUAUAAAAAUUGUUGUCUUCCAUGGUAUGAAUAUCAGCCUAUUUUCCAAAAAAAAAAAGGCGGCAAAACUCAUAAUUCUGCUUGAGGCACUUUUCUCAUAUCAUUAGCUACUUCCUAAUCAUCAUCCUGAAUCUUGAAACUGGCUUAGCGCUAGGCGUAAUAGUUGGUUCCCAUGGAUUUUUCUCAAGAUUAUGGGUGCGCUCCACAAUCUAACUAGAAAAAGCCUGCAUGCCAUUAACAAAUCGACAUCAAUAAUCAAAUUACAUCAUCAUUUAGCAUAUAGCAGAUGCAUGAAAAACUAUCACCCGAAGGAUACAUGCCUUGCUACUACUGGUACUUGGUUCUGUUGUCUCAACAAAACCCAGUAGGGGAAACAAAAGAAGCACAUAUUAACUACAAGAAACACACAAAACAAAGAAUCAAGAAGGCAAAUUCUCUCCUUGGCAAGUCAACAGCAAAAAAUGCUGUGCAGUCACUUUUACUUGGCUUUCCUGUUUUGCAUGUCUACUCCUCUACCCCUUCUUAUGCGAAGGGAGGAAUAGAGCAUUAACUUGAUAAGAUGCACCACCAAAGAAUUUCAUCAAAUGGUGACAAGGAACAAUUAAUAAUGGUACCACUUUAUUUGUUACAGCGGGACCUGGAUAACAUCCUUCAUUUCAGGAAGCUCCAAAUUAAGCCUUCUCAGUUGGUUUACUGGAAGCUUGAGGUCCACCAUGUGAUGGAUCAUCUGAAAGAAGAAAAUGGCUAGAGGAACUUAGCAAAAAAGAUGAAUUGAAAAUACUGUUAUCAGGAGUAUAAGCCUACAAAUAGCAGUUGGCAAUUCAGAGGAUCACAAGGAUAACAAGCGGACAGCAAAUACGCAGAAUCUACCGCUUGUGAGCAGAAGAAGAAUAAUGCAAAGUGAAUUAAGUUAUUUACUAAAACCCAGACCCAUUCUGAAGAGACAGACCUUUUUGAUAAUCUUAACACAUAUGCACAAAACUCACCUCGAUGCACAGAUAUCACCUUUGAACCAUACACCUGCAUAUCACAGUUGCAAAUUGUCAAAAACAAAAACUCAUACAUCCCAUUAAAUUUUGUCCAGCAAGAAUAUCGCAACGACGAAAACCAAAAAUGGAUGUGUUUGUGUACGUGCGCGCUUGAGGAAAAGAGAGAGAGAGAGGACAUGGUUCCUUCCAACUAAUGCUUUGGAUGGUCUUCCUAAAAUGAUCUGUAAAGUGACUUCGCUACAUGAAACUACUUAAUCAUGUACUUUCCUGGCAAUUGGCAAGUAAAUGAAACUUGGUGUAGUUUCCUCUGCCAUUAUAUGUUCAAUCCAUAAUAUAAAUGGAAUUAAAGUGUAAUCGCUUAACACCCUCCGUAGUGUGAUCUAGAUCAUUCUCACCCUCUUUAUCUUCAUCAUCCUUUUCAGCUUCUUCUUCUUCUUCUUUUUCAAGUUCAGCAAUUCUGGAGAAUAUACGAGCAUAUUCAUCAUCUUGAUUUUCACUUCUAGUAGUUUCGGCCUCAGAUGAACUGGGAAAAUCAGCAUUUGAUUCACCUGAAAAUAUUCAAGGAUUAACAAAAAUUUGUCGACGUUAUAAUGCCAGUUGCAAUACAAUUUUUGUUUACCAAAAGUUAACUAACUUAAAAGAAGGCAAAAACUUCUCAUGAAUGGGAAGCGCUUUUGGAAGAAAACUAAUCAUGAAGGUUAAGAUAGCGAAAACAUUCAGAAGGAGGAAAGGCAAAUCCACACGGUUCUAUAGCAGAAUUUGCAAUGAAAAUGCUGCUAAUCAGUAUCUGCACCAAAGCUCCUAAAAUAAUUUGGACCUGGGUCCUCAGCCCAUUAAACUGGUAUGAUGAUGAAAAAAUUAUCCAUCACUCUCUCCAUGACAUUUUAUAUGGUUUGAUAUGGCCAAAAUCUCACAACUUUUUCUAAACAAUGUCUGACUAAACAAAAUAUUGAAACAUUGACCAGGUCACCCAGCAAUUCGACUAGACAAAGGAAGUUAGUUUUUUGAACACAACAUUAGUCUUUUGAUAUGAAUAACUGGAUUUUUUCUAGACCAGGUCACCCACAUUGUGUUUGGAUUGCUUUUUUCUAGUUUUUUUUAGAAAAAUUACUGUAACGAUUUGAUAUAUGUGAAGUAAAGAGAUGAUAGGGAAAUAUGUUUACGAAAAACAUAGCAAUUACUGUAGCUUUUCUACGUAAAAGCUUUUCCUUUCUCAAUGAAAAGAUGAUUAUUCGCUAUCAUCCAGGAAGCUUGCUUAUUCUUACACGGAGUCUCUAAAUGUCUCGUGUCUAUAAUUUGUAUGAUGAAAUAGAUCAGCCAUGGUCUACAAAAGUUGUUCUUCCUCAGCAACAAACAUGUCUACAAAUCAUUUGAGAUCUUCACAGAUUUUAUCCAAGCUUUGGCACUCUCAUGUCUAGAACUUUUAAAACCUUUAAUUAAAAAAGAAAAAUCCAGACCGGACAUCCUUUGAACAUGUUUUCAACACUUAGAAUCAUGAGAGAUACAAAUUAAAAUUUUUAAGAGCUAUUGCAUUUGAAAGAAACAUUAAACUCACUACCAAGCUCAAAGCAGAUUAUAAUCUUUAUUGACAAGCUAAAAAGAAGAAGACCUGCCUGCCUGCUUUAGAUGCCUCAGCUAUACGAAUUUCCUCCACAUAGUCUUCAACCAUUUCUACAGGAUCAUCCUGUCAAAAUGACUUGAAAAAUUAAGCCAAAUAAUGAUCCAUGUAGUCAACAACGGUGAAUAGAUAUCCAAAGAAGUCCUAGGUCCUCAUUUGCGAAGACAUCUCAUAAUUAUCCCCUAUGGCCCAUGAAGAUAACAUUUUAAUGGCCUAACAUACUACUUGACAAACCUCCCACCUGCAAUAAGUGGGUCAGAAAUGCAACAAAAAACUCUUAAGUCCACAUAGGGUUCAUAAGUAACUUGAUUACAUAAAUUCCGCAGCCACAACCUAUUAUGACUUUUUGCCCAUAAGCAUACAUCCCUGUCAUCCCAAAAUCAUAUAUUACUUUGCAAUACUUGGACAGCGUUACAUCAUAUUGCAAUGCUGCGAACAUCGAUAACUAAGAUAAUUCUCCAACACGCUGGACAGAGACAUCAAAAACACCUAAAAUGAAAUGGAAGCAUACUAGUAUAUUUCUUAUGUCCCCUUUAAAAAGCCUAAAUGAUGCAUUUAUAUCACCCUCCACUAGCCCCAUAUAUAGCUUACGUGACUCUCUCUAAGCCAUUUCAAACAGCACAAACAAGUUAUAAUUAGCAAGGGCAACGAGAUUUUUAGAUCAACUUAAAACAUAUGCUAUCACUUGCUAAUGCUGGAGUAAAGGGACAAAAAUAAAUUUUUGAAACCAAGAUUAUUAAAUUGUAGUAUAUUUAAUCACAUGUUAAGUGCCCAUGCACCAAUGCAGAUAAACAGGCUUACCGCUGCCUCAUUAGCUGUAGCAUUAAAAAAAGAAACUUCAGUUUUAAGGUCCUUAAUGUCAGCCUUGAGAGAUUCAACUUGAGACUCUAGAAUUUUUCCUCUCCUUUCAAAAUUUCAAUUGUUUGUUUGGAUGUUCUUUCUGCGUAGUAUCCAUCUCCAAGGAGAACCUACAAAAGUUAUUGCAUUGAUUAUUCACUUUUCUUUUGAUAGGUAAAUAACUAAGGACAAAUAUCCACUAGUAGGCUAUCACUUCUCUAGAUUCCUUAACCACAAUGUGUACAGAAACCAACGAAGAUCCGGUGCAAAUAGGGCAUCGUGGAAACGAAUUCCUUUAAGUUAUCAGUUCCUACAAUCGCAAAAGCACACUAUAUUACACACCUCUUAAGCGGUAGUAAUCAACAACUUAAAAAUGACCAUCACAUUUUAUAAUUAUCCUGAGGUAGCCACAAAUUGACAUUUCCUUUCCCUAAUGUUUAUAAACAGUACUAAUUAACUCAACAAUCUUUUAAUCCCACAAAGCAACAACUAAGCACAAUUGGGGAAAAAACCCAUCGAAUAACUGAAGUUAGGCAUGUCAAAAGCUCACAUAAAUUCAAAACCAUACAUGAAAAACCUGAAAUCCCUCCACGAAGCAAGAUAAAAUAUAUAUGCAAGGCAAUACCAUAUGAAAACUAAGAAAAAGGGAGAGAAAAUACUUUUCUUCAUAUAUUUGGACUACACAAUAUACAUAUAUAUAUACACAAGUGUAACCUAAUUUAGAUCCUAAAAUCAUGCUAAUAUAAAUCAAUCUACUACCUAAUUAAUAUAUGAUACUAUAAUCAUAUGAUACCUAAUCUUUACAAUAUCAAAUCUUUUCAUAAUAUCAGAUUACAUAUCUUCAACACUCCCCCUCAAACUGGAGCAUAAAUAUUGCUCAUACCCAACUUGUUACAAAGGUAAUCAACUCGAACCCCAUGUAGAGCCUUCGUAAACAGAUCUUCCAAUUGGUCUCCAGUCCUUACAAAUCCUGUAGAAAUCAAGCACUGCUGUACUUUCUCACGAACAAAAUGACAAUCUAUUUCGAUGUGUUUUGUUCGCUCAUGAAAUACGGGAUUGGAUGCAAUAUGAAGAGCUGCUUGGUUAUCACACCACAAUUUUGCAGGCAUUGAGGUUUUGAGACCUACUUCAGUUAGAAGUUGAUUUAUCCACAUGAUUUCACAUAUCGAUUGUGCCAUAGCUCUAUAUUCUGACUCUGCACUCGAUCGCGAGACAACAUUAUGCUUCUUACUCUUCCAUAAGAUUAGGUUUCCUCCAACAAAGAUACAAAAUCCAGUUGUGGAUCUUCGAUCUACCUUGGAUCCUGCCCAAUCAACAUCUGAAAAACACUCAAUCCUAAUAUGACCAUGAUUUUUAUACAGAAUACCACGUCCAGGAGCUCCUUUUAAAUAACACAAAAUUUGUUCUACAGCUGCCCAAUGAUUAACAGUAGGAUUAGACAUAUAUUGACUAACAAUACUAACUGAAUACGCGAUAUCUGGACGAGUCACUGUAAGAUAAUUCAACUUUCCAACCAAUCUUCUAUACCUCCCAGGAUCUUCUAACAAUUCACCUUCUUUUGUGAGCUGCAAGUUAGGAAUCAUUGGGGUACUAGCUGGUUUAGCCCCCAAUUUUUUCGUUUCAGAUAGUAAGUCAAGAACAUAUUUUCUUUGGGACAGGAAUAUCCCCUUCCUACUCUUUGCUACCUCAAUACCCAAAAAAUACUUUAACAGUCCCAAAUCCUUUGUCUGAAAUUGACUAUGGAGAAAAGUUUUAAGAGAUGAAAUACCUGCAGCAUCAUUUCCAGUGAUAACAAUAUCAUCCACAUAUACUACCAAUAAAAUAAUACCAACUUCAGACCGUUUGUAGAAAACAGAAUGAUCAGAUUUGCUUUUCUGCAUCCCAAACCUUUCAACUGCUAGACUAAAUUUUCCAAACCAAGCACGAGGACUUUGUUUCAGUCCAUACAAGGACUUCCGAAGAUAACAAACCUUCCCAGACUUCCCCUGAGCAACAAACCCUGGUGGUUGUUCCAUAUAAAUUUCCUCUUAGAGGUCUCCAUGAAGAAAGGCAUUCUUGAUAUCUAGUUGAUGCAAAGACCAAUUAUGAGUGACUGCCAUAGAAAUGAAUAACCUGAUAGAUGUUAACUUAGCAACAGGGAAAAAAGGGUCAGAAUAAUCCUCUCCAUAGAUUUGAGCAUAGCUUUUGGCAACAAGGCGAGCUUUUAAUCGAGCAACCGACCCAUCAGGAUUGAAUUUAAUUACAAAAAUCCACUUACUCCCAAUGGCCUUCUUCCCUGCAGGUAAAUUUACUAAGUUCCAAGUAUCAUUACCAUCUAGAGCAUUCAUCUCCUCUAUCAUAGCAUUGCGCCAUUCGGGAUGGGAUAGGGCUUCAUGAACAGUUUUAGGAAGGGAGAUAGAAUCAAUAGAUGUAAUAAAGGAACAAGAAGAGGUGGGUAAAUGAUUAUAAGAUACACACGAAGACACAGGAUAAGUGCAUUGACGCUUACCUUUACAAAGAGCAAUAGGAAGAUCAUCACUUGAGACAGGAUCUAGUAACGAAGGAACUGGUUCAGGGCAUGUAUCAGAAGACUUUUGUCGUCGAGAAUAUACCUGAGUAAUUGAAGGUUUAGCAGGGGAAGAACUUGAAGAUGUGACAGUAUAGAUUAACAAAUCAUCAUCCUCCUCGACAUGAAUGAAAUGAGGAUAGGGUAAAAGGUGUAUUUUCAAGAAAAGUAACAUCCACUGACACAAUGUACCGGUCGAGAUUAGGACAAUAACAUUUAUAUCCUUUUUGGACACGGGAAUAACCAAGAAAAAUACAUUUCAAUGAUUUGGGGUCUAAUUUAUUGACUUGGGGACGAGAGUCGCGGACAAAACAUGUACACCCAAAGAUUUUAGGUUCGAUAGGAAACAAAGGUCUAUUUGAAAAAAGAGUAUUAUAAGGAGUCCCAUCAUUCAGAACAGAUGAAGGCAAACGAUUAAUUAGAAAGCAAGCUGUGGACACUGCAUCAGCCCAAAAAUGUUUAGGAACAUGCAUUUAAAAUGAUAAGGCUCUUGCAGUUUCGAGCAAAUAUCUAUUCUUUCGUUCUGCGACCCCGUUUUGGGAUGGUGUAUUCACACAAGAGGUUUGAUGAAUAAUGCCAUUUUGCACCAUAUAAGAUUGAAAGGUGCGAAUAAUUAUUCUUUAGCAUUGUCACUUCGCAAUAUUUGUACAGAACGCUUAAAUUGAGUCUUAACCUCAGCACAAAAAUGAGAAAACAACUCUGACCGAUUUUUCAUUAAAUAUAACCAAGUCAUACGAGAAUGGUCAUCGACAAAAGUAACAAUAUACUUGAAUCCAGUUUUAGAAAUAACUGGACUAGAUCCCCAGACAUCUGAAUGAACUAAUGCAAAAGGAGCAUCCGCUCGUUUAUUGACUCUAGGAUUCAGAUUAACACGAUGAUGUUUGGCAAACUGACAAGACUCACAAUCUAAUAGAGACAAACUCUGAAAUUGUGGACAAAGUAUCUUUAACAACAGGAGAGAAUGAUGACCUAGCCUACAAUGUGCUUCAAAUGGAGUUACAAUUCCAGAACAAGCUAUGGACUUUGGUUUCUGUGUGUCAAGAAUGUAAAGACCUCCAGAUUCAUGCCCUUUACCAAUAAUCUGCUUCGUCGUAAGAUCCUGAAACAAGCAAUAGUCAGAAAAGAAUUGGACAGAACAAUUGAGGGCACGGUAAGUUUACUCACAGAAAUUAGAUUAAAAGACAACUCAGGCAAAUUUAAGACAGAUAACAAUGAGAUUAAUGGAGUGGGGUUAACUGAGCCUGAUCCAAGAAAACGAGAUUUUGACCCAUCAGUUAAGAUAACUGUAGGUGCAGAUGUGUGUGGUUGAAAGGUAGAAAAUAGACUAGAAUUACCCGUCAUAUAAUCUGUGGCACCAGAAUUAAUUACCCAUUUGGAGGACGAGGACACAAGGCAUGUGUUUGGUUUACCUGACUCAGCGAUGACAGUUACGGGAGUAGAUGAAAACUUUAAUGAUUCUUGUAUUGAGAAAAUUUAGCAAAUUCAUCUGCAGAGAUCGUAACAGACUUUUCAUGGUUAAUAGCAUUACCGGUAGAAGCAAUAUGUGCGGAUUGAGUUCUCUGAUUCCUGUACUGCAAUUUCUUACAAUCACGCUUCAUAUGACCCGGCUUAUGACAAUAGUGACACACAACCACUUCUGCAUUCUGUUCCUGAGUGUCAAUUCCUUUACCACCACCUUUGUAUUGCUGUUUUUCAAGACCAACAAGAGCACUGCUGGACUGAACAGACUGGGUAUUCUCUGUGCGAAACACCCUACUAAACACAUCUUGCAAGGAUGAGAUCUCAGGACUGGAAAGAAUCUGCGAUUUAGCAUCUUCAAAUUCAGGUGAAAGACCAGCCAAAAAACUCAUAAUUGCCAUCUGUUCCCGUUGAGUUUGCUGAACUUUCACAUCAGAACUAAACGGUAAUAACAGAUUAAACUCCUCAUAAGUUUUCUUAAAAUCCAUAAAAUAAGUCAUGAUGGACUUAUCUUGUUUCUCUGCAUGAUAAAAGGCUUGACACACCUCAUAUAUGCGAGAAAUAUUUCCUUUACCAAAAUACAAAAAUUCUAAAUACUCCAUUAACUCCUUAACAAAUUUACAGUGAUUAAUUAAGAUAAUUACCUCACUGUCAAUAGAAUUCCGUAUUUGUAGGAACAAUCUAACAUCUUCCCUUAGCCAUGUCAAUCUUGAACCAUCUUUUGGAGGAUCAUCAGUCAGAUGAUUGUUUUUAUCAAUGUUUCGCAGAUAAAGACGAACCGUUUUGCUCCAAUCAAGAUAGUUAGAAUUGUUGAGUUUGUGGUCCGUGAUCUUAGACAUCACAGGAACCACAUCAGACGUAACGACAAAUUUCAUUUCUGCCAUGGGUUCAGAAUUAACAGAAAAAAAAAAAACAAAAAAGGACAGAUCUGAACUCUUUAAAACAAGAGUGAAGAAUAGAACACAGAUGUGUCCUAUACAGAACCAGAUGAACCGAAUGAUGACUAAUGAAUUUUCUGGCAGCGGACAGAGACCUUAACCUUGAUGGUAGGGCUUUAAUACUAUGAAAACUAAGAAAAAGGGAGAGAAAAUACUUUUCUUCAUAUAUUUGGACUACACAAUAUACAUAUAUAUAUACACAAAUGUAACCUAAUUUAAAUUCUAAAAUCAUGCUAAUCUAAAUCAAUCUACUACCUAAUUAAUAUAUGAUACUAUAAUCAUAUGAUACCUAAUCUUUACAAUAUCAAAUCUUUCCAUAAUAUCAGAUCACAUAUCUUCAACACCAUAAAUUCAUUUGUGUGAAUUAACUGAUCGGAAAAAAAUGCUGCCUUUCCGGAGGGCACCUGAAAAUAUCGUCUAGAAACAUAUUAAUUUCAAAAGAAAAAUCAUAUAAAUCCCUUAAAAAUACUUUUUUUUAAUUUUUUUAUUGGAGGGGUUUAAGGCAUUAUCAUAAUUUGGUGUUGGAGUUCUUUGGGGAGUGUUUGGACGAGAUUAAUGAGGUUGGCAUUGUCGGAAACAAAGCUUUUCAGCUGGUCAAGUUGUUUGUGGUGCUUGGCGAUCGUGUCCUACACACGCUCCGAUGCUUUCUAGGUUUCCUCCGGCGGGAACAACGAUGACAGUGACAUCACCUUUCCUUUCCUCGGUUCUGAAUCUUCCAUUCUAUGAUUCUCAGUCAGUAUCAACGAAUGCUCCCCAAAUGACACAUUUUUGAAGCUAUCUGUAAUUUUAUCGGAUUUUGCUCAGUUCAGAGAGAGUUCUCUUCUAGAGUAGAGUAAAUGAUGAUGUAAAAUUAAGCUGAAGAAAAGAGAGAAAAUUAGCAGUUAAAUAGGGAGCUCGUCUGUCCACUCUCGGACAGUCCGGAAAGUCGAGUCCAACUCCGCCCGACCCACCGAAAAUGUUCCAGGUCGAACCAAGGUAUUAGCAUCUUAAUUAUGUUUUUCCUUUUUUUUAAGGAAAAAAAUUGGGUCAAUAAUUGAAUUUCAUCUCAUAAAUCAUAAAAUGAAAAUGUAUUGAACUAAAGGAAUCAGUCUAGUGCUAGGAGUAAAAAAUGCAAAUAAGUCGAAUCAAUCACGAGCAAUACCAUGUUCGUUCUCUAACUUGACUUGAUACAGUAGUGUUCAAGAUCGAGUUUGACUCGAUUAAGCAUGAAUUUCUGUGAUCAAGUCCGAUUUACUAAACUUUUUGAGAUGCACGAGAUUGACUCGUUUAGGAUCGAACAAAUUCAAGCUUAUAUAUGUAGUUUACACCAUACACUCCUCGAACUCUUGAGCUUAACAUAUCAACACUAGAUGGUCAAUUCGGUUGACUAAUCAAGCAACUCGAAAUCGACUUGAAUUCGGUUUACAUCGAGUCGAGUUGAUCAUUUGACUGAAUUGCUCCUAAGCUCCUAGAUUUUUUUGUAGACCUAAUUAGAAGAAGAUUUUUCGAGUAUUUUCUGUUGUUAAAUUAAGGAUUCAAAUCCCAUGGCACUCAAUUCGUUUGUAGACCUAAUUAGAAGAAGAUUCUUAGAGUCUUUUCUGUUGUCAAAUUAAGGAUUCAAAUCUCAUGGCAUAAUUUAUUUGGGGGUAGCAUGGUAAAAAAAAUGAAAAUGUAUUAUAGUGCAAAAAUAAAAAUCGCCUGAGAUGAAUAUAGUUGAUGGUUUCCUGCUUUCACAUGUUUACUGUCAAGAGUCAAAAGGCACUAAUAUCGGUUUCUCUCAAGUUUCGGAUAGGGCCAACGCGGACCAGUCCCUCGCCCGACUCUCAGAAAAGGUAGAAUUCUCAAUUCCUCUCAAUAAAAUCAAUUAUAUUAGUUUACCACUCAUUUUCUUUUAUAAUUCUUUUUCUGAAUGAGUAAAUUUUCUCCACACGAAUUUUGGAUUCACUUGUAAAUCCAUUUAUUGGGAUAAACACUAAUUUUGAAUAACGAGUUUAAAAUUGCAUCAUCCUAUAUUCAAACAAUUUGCAAGUGGCCAUGUAUUUUUUAUUCCCAAUCCAAACCCUCUAGCCACUAAUACAUUUUUAAAAUGGUAAAAUAAAUCUCAUUUAUAAAAAGAGAGAUACUAGCAAAAACUUAUGAUCUUGUGCAAGCAGGGGAAUGAUUGUCACAGUUUACCAUUUUGGAUUGGAUUUUUUGGAACUUUUUAUAUGAAAAUAUGCAACAAUUCAAGAGAACAAGUAAGAAAAUAUUCUAUAAAAUUCAAGAACUUUUACCACAAUCCAAAUUGAACUAAUUCUUUUCACUACAACUUUUUAUAAUAAUAAAACUACCUCAAUUCUCAAAUCACAAUCAUUUGACAAAGGUGAGAUUACUAUAUUAUUGAAAAAUUUCUAUACCAUCGAAAUUUGAGUUUUGGCAUUCAGUAGCCAUGGGCAUAUGCAUAGACCUAUGCUUUUAGGAACAUUUUUAGAGGAUUCACAAACAUAUAUAGUAAGAGUCCAUUUAGAUUGUUAUUUUCUAUAUUUUUUGUAAAAAAAUAUAUUAUAGUGAGAAUAUAUAUAAGAUUAAAAGGUAAUUAAAAAAUAUAUUUAUGAAAAACAUAAAUAUUUUUGAGAGAAAAAUGGCAAUCCAAACAAAGUAAUUUCUGUCGAAGGAAAUUCAGUUUUAUAGUGCAUUCUAUGUUUAUAGUAUGGUUUCCCAAAAAAUACUGCCAAUAUUUUUUAUCUGUUUCCUUCAAGCUACAUUUUUAACUCCUUUUGGAAGUCGCUGGAAAAUUAACUAGACUUUCUAUUUCAUCCUUUUGACUCAAAAAAUACACGCACUACGCCUACUUCUCCUUUCAUCACACAUUGAAAGUUUCUAUGCUGCAAUCUACUAAGCAUGAUUAUGCCGUUUAACUAGUUCAUUAAUAAAGUAUUCCAAUAACUGUCUCCGACUAAAUUAUUGUUAAACAAAUAGUAAUAUCAGGAGCAUGUCUUUUCUGGCACUACAAUUUACCAGUGAAGGGUCUUCUUGUUGUUAAAGCUUAAAACCCAGAGAAACAGCAAGAAUCCUGCUCAAUCAUUUAUAAAAAAUGUUUUCCUUUCCAAUUUACAAGUUUUGUUCUCUGAAUUAGUUUGUUGAGCUCUCACUUUCUUUAGAUUGAUCGGUGCCUUAAGCCGAUCAGUUGUUGGGGGGUCGUUAGUUAAGUGAAACAAUCCAUUGAUUUCAGUAUAAGCAACAACCCCUUUUUAAUUUUAGUUGGAAAAAUCUCCUUUUUAAGUGAAAUGGGAUCAUUUCUUCGUUUGGGUUUGUGGAAAAAAGCUUCAAGGAUAAGAAUUUAAGUUGCUUUCGAGAUGGGUUUGGUUGAAAGUUUAGAUUUUUAUCGGCUAAAGAGGGUGAAUUUGAGGUUCUCGUCAAGAAUCUGCUUUGGAUUGUGGUUAGCUUUUGCUGUUUUUCAUCCAGUUCUGGGGCUGCGGCCUUUAAGGGAGAGAAGUCAAUCAUGGGGUGAUGAGGUUAGUAUUGAAUUUUUAAGGCUUUGUUUAUCCAAUUAUGGUUACAAAUUUUGUUCUUAGAUUAUCUAGUUAUGGUGUUUUGACCAAUUAAGCGUCUGUUUGGUUUUACUUUACAGAUUGACCUUUUGCCUUUCUGUUCUAUUUAUGGUGGUAAUGUUGAAUGUUUAGUCAAAGGAAAAGCCAUAAAUUGUGUGACUUGCUGGGGAAAUUAAUUUUCUUGACUAGUUUGUGAAUAAAAGAAGUAAUUUUGGUUUUUUUUUGGGUGAUAAAAAUUUUGGGAGUUUUCUAUUGCAUUCUCACUUUGGCAGUUGUUCGUGAAUUAUCAUUAUUUUUGUUUCAGAAGCAGCUGGCCAGGAUAUUUUAGAAUUUAGGUUUUGUAACCAUUAAUGUAGAAUUUUUUGCGUGAACAUUUUAGUAGCUUUCAGAGUGGAUAUAGGUGACGUGUUUACCUUUAUGUACAAUUAGCUACUCCAUAUGGGUCCUCGCUCAUAUGAGGGCAGCCUGAGAAUUGGCUGGAUCGAGAAUCCGAGAGUAUGUAUGACAAAGGGUUUAGCUACUGAGACUUCAUUUCAGCUCCUUAUUGACAUCUGUGUGGGUGAAUAAUUAUAGUUUCAUGUGUUGGAGGUAUGAAUUAGCACAAGGCACAGAUGUCAUCAUAAAUAACCACCUCUAUAGUUGGAAAGUACGCACCUACGGAGAUUUCCGACUGGUGAUUUACUGUCUGUUUUCAGAAGGGCAUGGAGUGUUAAAUUGGAAGGUAUGCUGAAGGGAGUGAUACUGUGCUUGUCUUGCUUGAAUACGAGUUAGUCUCUUAUGAGAGGCUGAAAGCAAAUAAAGCAUCAGAUUGACAGAAGAAUUCAUUCAAGGAGCUUCUCCAUGAUCACUCCUACUGAGAACUAGAUGAAUGAGAAAAGAACUAGUGGAAGAGUUAAUUUUGUGUAAAGAUUGGUUCACUUGCAUGAUAAUCUUGGAGGUUGUGGAUCAGAUGUAUUUCCUUUCAUUGAAUGAAGCAUGUAUGUAUGUUCAGACAAACUGUUUUUUUUUGGAUGGAUUUCUUUCUUUAAUUUGUCUUUUGAUCUGAUUCAUAUGGCCUAGUUGCUGGAUGUUAUUCGUUGAACCAACAUGACAAUUUAUAGCGUGAAACUCAGGCAUGGGUUCAUCCUUGUGAAGUCACCGACUUAAUCAGUCUGAAAGUUUCUGUCAUUUCUUUUUCAUUCCCCCCCAGAGGUCAAUGGAUUGUGAAAGGUUCCACCUCUGUUUACGUCAAUAUUGGACACAGACCAAAUGUUAAGGAAGAAUAAGUAGAGGUUUUGUAUUGCCAAAACUAUUAUUGAAGGAGCACUUUUGGAAGUGAUUCCUGGUGCAAUAAUUUGUUGCCAGGAAGCUGUUUGGGUUACUCUUGGUAUUGGAGGCUGGAUUUCUCUGAUAUAUUCUGUGUGGAUAAGUGGAAUAGGAUGUUGGGCAAUGAGAAGAACUAGCUUCAGCUAAAGUUUUUUAAGCAAAAUAAGAAGAAUUAGGGCAUUUUGUGGAGUUUGAGGUGGAUCAUCUCAGGUGUUUGAGGUGAGGUACAGAAGCUGAAAGUUCUUGAAAUCUUUGAACUUUCUGGUUUAUUUUACCUUUAAAAGAAUUGCAUUAAAUAUGGCGUAAUCAUUUCAUGAUUUCUGAUAACAGAAUUGUGAUCCUUAUAGGAUAAAAUGGGUAUCUUUCUGACAAGAACCUCAUUUAAGUUGGCAUUUGAGGCAGACUAGUGCAACAGAAUUUUAACUGCAAUGAAGUAUGUACCUGUUAUUCAAAUGACAAAUUCUAGGUGUUCUUACUUAAAGAGAUUGUGUAUAUCCUUCUCAACAAUGAAAGGGAACAUAGGUGUCUUGUUUCUUCAAAAGUCCUAAAACAAGGCCAUAUUCCCGUGCAUUGAAAUUAUGUGAGUUUGUUGUUUGAACAUUAGUAGUAUAUCUAUACUUGAUUGUACAAGCCAACUUAGAACUGAGGCUUGAGAAUGUGUAAAAACUACUCUAAGGUUAUAUCCAUCUGCUUUAAGUUAAUGGUUAUAGGUUCCUCCAGAAAGAAAUUAGAGAAAGUUAUGUUUCAGAAAUAUGCCUUUCCAGCUCGGAUAUGCUGUUCCAAGUUAACAUACUAAACAUAAUAAAAACUGGAUUUUCUGUAAGCAAGUUCACUAAUUUGUAUCUUCAUCCUGUCAUAUAUUUUUCCAUCCGACUUUCUGCAUUGAUUUUUCUUGGAGUAAUUCUCAUUGUUGCUUUUAACAGUGGCUUUUCGUAAGAAAAGAUGAGAGCGAGUUGGGCCCUUUUUCUGCAUGGAAUAUAACAGGAACAUAUAGAGGUUUGUCAGUUAUCUUGCUUUGAAUUUAUCAUCUUAGAUCAAGGCUCUUUUAUUAUCACAUGCAUCCGUUCUCUGGUCUUGAUUAUGUAUACCUUUUCUAUGUUGCUGAAUACGCUUAUAAGUACCUUUACUUUGCUGAUAAUUAGUAGCCUAUUUUAUACAUUGUGUUAAGCCUGAAGGAUAUGAAUAUUUUGAAGCUGAAACAAUUGAAAUUAGGUUACAAUCUUUGACUAUACCUGUUUUGGAAAUUUAAAGGUAAUUAGUAUUUAUUUCUAGUUGAACAUUUUUGUCUGAUUGAGUCAUGCUUUAAGAUUCUAUUUUGUUGUAUUAACAGUUUCAGCUGGAUGAGGUAACUUGAAGCAAAUUUAUAAUUUCACGGACAUGUGUAAACUAGGAAAGAGGUGGAAGAUGUAAGGCGUUUUUGCCUGCCUAGAUACUGUUUUAAGAGUGAUCUGUCAUGUUUGAUUAAUGAAUGCUAUUGAGUAUUACAAAAUCUUCAUAUCAGUGGCAGAGCAGUUUGGAACUUUUAUUUCUGAUACUUGUUAGGGAGAUCUUUCGGAUAUUCAUGCUCCAUGAUUGCUAGCAUCUAAAAAAUAGUCUGCACCCUGAAGUGCCUGCAUGUCCUAUUAAUAUAUUUUCCCUUUCCUAUGUGUUCUUUUUUUUUUUUUCCUUUUCUUGGGCAGGCAUUUUUGAAGAAUCUUUGCUAGAAUCAUGUAAAUUUGAAUGAUAUCAUGAGGUUACAACUGGUAAUUGUAUUUCUGUCAAAGAGUGACUAAAUAUUAUUGUACAUAUCAAUAGGACCAAAAGUAAAUAUCUUGUUGAUUUGACUACUAUUAAUGAAAUGUGCUCAAAGUUGUUUUUGGAUACUACACCUUGCUGAUUAUAUGAUUCAAUGGAUUUAUGACUUGCAGGGUCGUGGAGAUUUCUGGACUCCACAAAUAGCUCAUCCAGGUUUCCUGAUUUCAAGAAAUCCAAUGGAAACUCUGUCCUUGAACUAAUUAGCACUCCAACCAAAAUAACUGGUGUACAUUACGUUCAGGUGAUACCAUCAUUCUGCUUGUUCUAGCAGUGGCUUGGAUGAACAGUCCUUGUCUUAGCUUGUCUGAUUCAUUUCAUGGCUGAAUAAAACCUUCAAUCUGCACGGUGAUCACCCCUUGUCUGUCAAUUUGUUCAUCCUGCAUCUUAACGUGAAUUUUUUGUAGGUCAAAAUUAGUCUUUGCCUCCACUUCUGAUAGGGGAAAGAAAAGCCGUAUACUUUUUAAGUAAUUAGCUAGCUUUGAUUGUGAAAUACAUACAUAUAGCAGUUGAAAUUCUUUAUCAGUUAAGUUUAUAUCAAGUUGGUGACCGAGUGUCUCUGGAAAUGUUUCGAUAAACAGCAGAUUGUUUUGUUUCAAAGCAGUCGGUGUUGAAUCUGUUCUGGGAUAGAUAAUUAAUUGCCAGCAAUGUAAUGACUGACUAUAUAGAGUUACAUUUUACAUCUCCUGUACAGUUACAGUUUACAUCUCCUGUAUUUGACUUGUGCUUAUACAUUGCGAAUACAUAAUGUCUGUGCUUAUACAAGUAACUCUUAGACGUAUUCAAACAUUUAGCUUUAUUCUUGGGGAAUUUUCUUAUCCAAAACUCAUUCCUGUUUGUGAUGCAAUUCUCAUUUGUUUUGUUAAUAUAUGUAAUAGGGUGUAUUAAUCUUCCAUGAUGUUUAUGAUAAUGAACGUGAAGCUGGUGGUGCCCAAAUUCGAAUAGAAGGGGUCUAUAUAUGGCCAUUCAGACAACUCCGACUGGUAACUUAUAGGUAUUCUUGGGUUUGCUUCCACUCUCUUCUUCUGAAUCACUCUUGGGAGUGGUGGAUGAUAUUGCUUUAAAUAUGGUGUCUGCACAAUCAAGGUUGUACUCCUGUUGUAAUUUAAGGAUAUGCGUGCAGCCGCUAGUCCUACAUAAUCCUGCUAUGAUUCUGCUUAAAUAUGCUUUGAAACUCUGUUGCCAGUUCUCACCAUAAUAUGGCAUAUUUCCAAUAGCAGAUAUGUCUCUAGCCAGCGAAGAAAGUUUGAAUGUGUAACCAUCCGUGUAAACAUCCCUCAUCUGUAUAUCUAGUCUGGCUCCUGUCUGCAUGAUAUUGGAUUGGUUAGUUGAGACCCGGGUUCUUAAUUUGUGACUUAAUAUUUAGUUCUAAUCUGAAGCUUUUUUUUAUUUUUAUUUUUUUCUGAGUGCAAAAUUAUUUGUAGCUGUGAUCUUAUUUGGAUGACCUGCUUCUGGUCCCUAAUUGACCCACAAUUUGACAUUCACUUCUAUGCAUUUGCUGCUAAUGUUGUCAUUGGUAUCUUCUGCGGACACGUUUUGGUAACUUUUCAUAUUCUUGCUGUUCUUUUUUGCAACAGUCUUUAGUUGGACUUUCUCUACCUGUAUGGUUUUGACUGUCUACUAAAAGUUUCAUGGCUCAAGUUACUUUGGUUUAAAUGAUCCCAACAUUUUGAUUACUUCACUAAGUUUUUAGAAUUGAAUUAGAAAAUCACUUCUCGAAAAUGUUCUGGAUUGGCCCUUUGUUCUCUAUGCUGAAUUUAUUUGACUUAUGAUUUCCUUGUUGAGCAUCUUCACCAUCUUUUUGGCCUUUCUUGCUUUCCUAUUCUCCUUUCCUUCGCCUUAAAAGGAAAUAGAAAGAGGGAAAAUGGAAAGGAGAAAGACAAAAAUUCAUUUAGGAAAUGCUGAUUUGCUUAUUAAUAUAAUCUGCAGAAGUGUUUUGGAAGCUUUCAUAACUCACAUUUCUGGAAAUUCUAAUUUGCAGUGGAAAAGAGGGCGAGUUUGGCCAGGAAGAUGACUAUAUACUAUCGAAUCCGUAUCACUUGGUAAUUGCCAUCUCUUAUGGUCCACUUUUUGAUGGUUCUGUGGGAUAAUGGUGCUUGCAUUUUCUGCUUUUCAGAUUGAAUGCAAAAUAGUUCACUGUCAUUUGAAUGACAGAAAUUCAAUAUAUGUGAUGCUGCUUUUAAGCAAUGGGGUAUCUGUUUGAGUUCCAUUGACAGUUUCUACGUGUGUUUGGUUGGUUUUGCCUUUUUCUAAAUUUUUUUCCUUUCCUUUUUUGUUCCAGUCUGUUGUGGAAAUGUUGUGUUUAAAGGGAAGAUCAUAAUUAAGGUCCUUAUGGAUUAGGUGUUUUUAAAAAAUUUACUGUAGCAUUUAAUCUUAAAAAACUAUACUGUAGCAAUGUACUUUGGGGUGUUUCGUAACAUUUAAUUUUUUUUUUUUGGAGUGGCUUAGAAAAGUUAAAAAGUUCCUUCUCCCACCACCCUCAACCUCCCGCCACACCUGCCUCCCUUUCCCUGCCUGUCAACUCCUCUCCGUCCCGCACACCUUCCCUUCUCUGCUGCCUCUCCCCCCCCUUCCACCCUCCCCCCUCUCCUCUCCCCCUGCCCCUUCCCCUCCUUCCUGGGUACCGGAUCUAGUCAUGAGGGACCAGAUCUGCAGGAGUGGUGGUGCGGCGUGGUGGAGGAAAAAAGGGUUGGUGGUUUCUUUUAGUUAGUUUUUGAUGUUUUUGCUAGGUGUAUUAGGAGUGUUUUCUAGAUGUGUUAUUGUAAUAUUGUAUUUCAAAAACUAGUAUUUGAAAAAACUCCUAACCCAAAGAGAGCCUAAAUUUCCUUUAUCUGCUUGUUAUAAACAAACUAAUGUGGUUCUAUCUUUAUUUUUGUGAAAGAUUUCGGAAUUUUUUGAAUCAAAGUUUUAAUCUGCUAGGAGGAUUGGACUUUUCAGAAUCCUUAGUAUUGUAUCAAUUGAUCAUUUAAACUUCCAUUUGGUUAGGUGCUGGCCCAGAGGGAAUCUAUAGUUUAGGUUUUGUAACCUUUGAGUGAUUUUUUGGUGUGCAUCUGCUAGCUAGAACGAGGACUAUUUUCUGUUUACUGUAAAACUUUCAUUCAACAGUUGGCCAUUGUUAAUGGUCAACAUGAGUUCUUUAAGCAAUCUCCCCUACUUUUGUUGGAAUGGACCAGCAAGUAAGAGAUUUCAAUCGUCCUUCAUUCCUUGUUCCAACUUUUGUGAUCAACAGGCAAGAGCAUAGUAUUAUGUUGUACCCUCUACAGAUACUAGACAUAUGAAAGAUGUUCAAUCAAGGGAUGAGUUUGGGUUUCCAUUUCUUGAAAAUUAGGACUGACAAAAAUGUUGUGUUGCCCAUGGACCUUGAAUGUUGUCUAAGAUGAAAUUAGAUCAUUCUCAAAGUGGUCCAAGAUGAUGUUUCCCGGAUUCACCUAAGUAGGGGUGGCAAAGGCUCACUAAGCUUCGCUUCCCUUCCCCCCUUCCCUUAUUAAGUGGAAAAUAAAUAGUAUUUGGUAUUCUAUAAGCGACUACACGACCGAUAGCAAAGCCAAGCAAUUUGGAUCCAAAACCAUCCAAAUAAACCUAGGUUAAAUGGAUUUGAUUGAGUGAGAAAUUCUUAAUGACGCUAAAUGGUUCACCAUUUAAAUCCACGUAAACUGGUGGAUUUAAAUGGGUUAUCCAUCUCAUCCAUCUAAAUCCAUUUAUCCAAAAAAAAAAAAAAUGAAACUCUCUCCACACAUAUCACGCUAUACACACACAUUCACACACACGGCAAGCACUGACCCACAUACUAUACUUGCUUUGAGCUUUACCCAACUUGACCCGUUACAAAACCCGAGAGAAUAUGGAUCUGUUGCAGAAUUCUCCCUCUGCUGCUCCUAUGUGAAUAUGAGUUUGAGUCAGUUUUGAACUCGUAACUCAAGAAUUGAUAGGGGCCAUUUUUGAGUCAACCAGAAUUAGACAUUGGCUUCACUUGAUGAUUGAUGAUGAUGAUAAGUAUGAAGAUUUCCUGGCUGAAGCAUAUUAAAGUUUCCAAACCCGAGCGAAGUCAUUUGGAAGAAAAAGAGUCAAUUUGAAGUGGUUCUGGUUUUUUACCACAUUGAAGAAUGCCCGAAAUCACUUGGACAAAGAAGAGGUCAAUUUGAAGUUGGUCGGGUUUUUUACUAGAUUGAGGAAUGCCCAAAUGACUACUAAUCAGUAGUUGAAUCGUUGGAUCCAAACUUAUUCGGGAAGAGUAAAUGGUUGCAUGGAAGGAUAAUGGUUUUACAUUAGCCAUGUAAAUCCAAUCCAUUUGGAUCUAUUUUUUAAUUGGAUGUGAAUUGAUCCACUAUCCAUUUAGUUAAAACCAUUUAAUAACCAAAUAUCCAUUUUGCCACUUAUCCUGGUAAUUAAUGUGUCCAUUCAUGACAACUAUGACUUGGAAUGACUUGAGUCAUUGUUUCUUUCACAGCUUGGAGUUUUCUCAUCCCAGGUGUUCCAGGAGUCUCCACGUGACAAAAUUUGGAAAAGAAAACAUUGUAAUGUUAUUCAUCCAUCAUGACUUGAAGUUCUCAUAGCUGGUGGGUGAGGUUGACUAAUCAUAUCUUCUAUUGCAGCACCCAUAUAUGAAAUGGAGAAACACUGUAACAUUGAAAUUGCGGCUCAAAUAUCACAUAUGUCAUCCACUCAAAAUGGUACAUGAGUUAACUAAAGCAUAUGAAUUCUUUCUUUAUUCCUUAUUUUCUGUCUACUAUUGGUCAUUAAAUGAUUCAACAAUUUGACUUUAUACUGCAUUUUUUAAGAAAUAAUAAUGGUCAACAAUAAGGGUAGCUAGUGUAAGCGACUACUCUUUUUUUUCCCUUUUUUCUUUUCCCCCACUGCAUCUUGUGAUGUUCAUUCUGGAGUGUAAAUGUAAAGACGCAACCUUUUUGUGCUGAGCAGUAAUUGAUGCUACUAUUUAUACUGCAAAUGGUUCAAUUGUACCUCCAGCACAUAAAAACUGUAAUUCUAGUAGUUGAGUAUUAAGGGAGACAUAAUCCUUAAAUAUAUUGUACUGAAAUAUUAUAUUACCUUUGACAAAUCUGGUUGUUUGAUGUACAUCUACUGAGAGAAAAAUGGUUUGCCAGGAAAUUGAAUGAUAGGUUUAAUCUGAUAGAGACUUUGUACAAGAUGUGUGUGGUUAUAUUUAAAUGCUUUUUCUGUUAACUCAGUAAUUUAAUCAUGUGACUAGUUUUUUUGUGAUCUCUAGAGAAUAUUUUAAUCUAUUUUACCCUUCAUCUUUUGCUAGAUGGAGACCAUGAUAGAUAUCAUCUUGAGGGACUGAUGGAAAGCCCUUCAGUGGAUGAUGAUGGAGAUUGUUUCUCACCCAUUGCUUUGAAUGCCACUUCUGUCAACAUUGAGGUUUACUACAACAAAGCAGUUAACUACACCUUGAUGGUCACCUUUGUAUCCUUCUAUCGAAAAUUGGAUAUUUAUUUGUUUUUCCUUUAUCUUGUUAUCAAAUUCUUUUGGUGGAUUCCUUAAGUUGUGGCACUAUAGGUUUCUUUCCUUCAAGUUCUUCUGUUAAUUCGACAAAUGGAACAUAGUAACACUCAAUCAGUAAGAUUCCUUGUCUUAAUCAUGCUCAUUUGUUGGUAAAAACAGUUUCAUUCUCUAUAGGUUUUCAUUUCUACUAAGUCUGGAAGUGAUAUCAGGUUUGCCAUCCCUUCCUUCUGAUAUUGCUUAAUGGAAGAAUUAACUGAUUUGGUAUCAUUCCUACAGGGAGCUGCCAAAGUGUCUAUACUGAUGAUAGGGCAGCAGGCUAUCAUGGACGCAUAUCUUUGUUUAUUGCAUCUGACAGCUGGAAUUCUAGUUGGUAAGUUUGAACUGGAUUGAUGUGUGUGUAUCUCUACGUUACUAAGUGAAAUAACCACAUUUUUUCUUUCUUAAUGAAGUACAUUAUCUUUACCCUUUAACCUUGUGUAAUCUAUCUCUUGUUGUUUUUCUUCCCUUUGAAAUGGCCCAUGUAAAUCAGUUGCUGUGGCAAAGCUUCUUCCUAGUUUCAUGACAAAAUCCUGAUUUAUAUUGGCCAUGAAAAAGCCAGUUACUCAUAAUUUAUAAGAAUAACAUUUUUUAUAGGUACAUGCUAGAGGUAGAGCAUAGAUGAAUUCUAGUUUGGGAUCUUUCUCUUCAUAAUGGACUUUUUUCCCCCCUCUUAUUCUUAUAACCUGCAUGCUUGGAGGCGUAUUUGUGGUAGUGAAGAGAAAUGUCUUUGGCAAAAUUUUUUGCUUCCUGCUUUUGAAUUCCCAGCAGCAAUGGUGGAAUACGGUUAGCUGAACCUCAGAUACUCGUAUUGUUCUUUUAACCUGCAUGCUUGGAGGCGUAUUUGUCAUAGUGAAGAGAAUUGUCUUUGGCAAACUUUUGUGCUUCCUGGUUUUGAAUUCCUAGCGGUUGUGGUGGAAUACAGUUAGCUGAAGCUCAGAGUCAGUGAAUAUGCAUUUUGUCUUUCUGUUCCUUAAUGACUGUUUCAAAUAAUUUUUUUAAAAAAAUUUCUGUAGCCAAUUUUGUACCAAUUCUAUUCUAUCUUUAUCCCCGCUGCAGUAUUCAGCUCUGGAGCUCUAUGUAUUUUAUGUAAAAUUUUCCCUCUGGUUCAUUUGGAUUAUUAACUCGUGUCUCUGCCUGCAGAAUCUCUAUUCAAUGCUUUUGCAACUGCAGCUUUCUUCAAGUUUGUCGUGUUCUCAAUAUUUGAGAUGCGUUACCUUCUUGCCAUAUGGAAAGCAAGUAGGCCUAUGAAUAAUGGAGAGGGAUGGGAAGCAAUGAGACGUGAACUAUCAGUUCUUUACAGUCGUUUCUGUGAGUAUUCUCUUGUUGAAUGUUAGAAUGGUUCUAGAUACUAAUGUGGAUAUCAACCAAUGUAGAUCAAAAUAUAUAUUUCCUUUAGUGGAGAUAUGUGUACAUACACAUGUUUUUUGUUAAGGUGAGAUCUUCCUAUUAAGACAACUACUGUUUCCAUAGUAAUUAGUACAAAAUACAAAUUACAAGAUAAAGAGAAACACUGCCUAUUAAUGAUAAUGGAGAAAUGACCUGGUAUGAAGAUUCAGAAUAUUUGGGAACAAUACUUCCAAUGCAUCAUCUAGCCAACCUGAUAUAAGAAGUAGCAUUACAAGAAAGUGGAAAUUGGCAAUAAUGUUGCAAACAAGGCUACAUGUCAUGUCAGUUACAUGGAUACUCUUCCAUGCAUGCUGGCAUUCUAUUGGGCCUUAAGUAGUUAAUAAAAAAUCAGAUGCAGUCACUGCGUGACACUUGUUGAAAACACAUGCUGCAGUUACAAGAUGCCUACUGCAAACUAUGACAAUGAAGAAAAAGUGAGAAUACAACUCCUUGGUUAGUCAAACACAUUAUCAAAUCUUUUGUUGAUGAAUAACAAGUGUCUGUAUUUAAUUGGAAGAAAAGACAGGGAAUAAGCUAAUGCAAAUAUAGUUUGUAAAGUAUGCUUGUUCGUGGAAUAUCUAGGUGUGAAUGUGAGAUUAGUGCACUCAAGCUCUUCUAUGUAACUAUUCUGCAAAGACCCAAAUGUACUUCCCUGCUGAUCAUUUUAUAAAAUAUCUACAAAGUAUGUGAGAAAAGAAUGUCUAGUUAGGCAUAUAGAUGAAAACAUGAUCAUAUGUACCCUCAUAUUGUCCUUGGCAUAUUUUUAUGCUACUUUCAGAAAAAGUACGUCUUCCUGUAUCUAUGCCAUUUAUCUGUCCUUUUGUUCUACAAAGAAAACUAAAUACUGAUUGUAUAGCUUUCUGUCCCUCUAUUUACUCCAAAUGUUUUAGCAAGCUGCAUACAUGUCUUUGCAGCUUGUUUUCCUUGCAUUGAAUGUUUUAGUCACUCUAACUUGUAAAUUAGUAUGGUAAAUGGAAUAAUUGUUGGAAAAUGUUUCUUGUUCUUGUAAAGGUGAAAGACUAGAAUCUUACUAGUUGUGCCCCAAUCUAGUAGACUGUCUGACCUACUGUAAUGGUGUUUUGUUAUAAUUUUGAACCCUUUUAAAUAUAGUAUGAUUCUCUCUCUCUCUCUCUCUGUCUAAAGCUUAAAGUAUCCACCUCCACUUGUAUAUACAUCGAUGGUGUUUUUGGAUAACUUUCAUUUCUCGUUUGAAUAUCACUUAUUCAGCUUGCCUUUUUAGCAGAGUUACUAAAAGAAAUAUAUAUUGUAUAUGCAUGUAGAUUUUUGUCAAUAACCUUUAAAUCUAUUGCAGAUGGAAUCCUUUUGGGUGGGAUUUUGAUCACGUAUGAGUUCCACAAGUUUUUGCGGCUUAUUCUUUUGCUUAUGCACUCAUUUUGGAUACCUCAAAUUGUCACUAAUGUGGUUCGAGACUCGAGAAAACCACUGCAUCCUCAUUAUAUCAUAGGAAUGACUGUAACUCGGUUAGCAAUUCCAUUGUACGUCUUUGGCUGCCCUCACAACUUCAUGCGAAUAGCGCCUGACAAGAACUGGUGCAUCUGUUUGGGUAUUUUUAUGGGCUUCCAGGCUUCAAUUCUUCUUCUACAACAUUACCUUGGUUCACGGUGGUUUAUUCCCCGACAGGUCUAACACUUUUUAUGAUAUUUAUAUAAUCAUAUCCCUGCUAUUUUUUGUUCAUAACCAAAAAAGACACAAAUUUGCUGCUGCAUGUUGCCCCACCUUUUCUCAUCCCUAUUUUCUGCAUUGAUUUUUGUCAAACAAAAAACUGGUCCUCUAUGAACUGUGCAGCACAAAUCUACCUCUCUCAAAACUGACCUCUGAGAGUGACAGCAUGUACAAAUUUUUCCACCAUGCCUUUCUGGCUUCAACAAUGUUGUCAAGUGGUUUGCAUACCUAUUGUCAAAUUAGCUAUGUGUUUCACCUUACUAAAUCUAGGUUUUUUGCUAUCUUAGCCUCUGUAAUUGUUGGAUCAAUGUUACAGUUUGUAUGAGUUUCAAGCAGGAUUAAUCAUAUCAGUUUUACUUGUAACAAUUUAUAGCGUAACAGCCCAAUGCUUGUAUUUGGAAGCUCCUAUGCAAUUAUUUCUUAUAAAAUAUCGCAAAAGGGCAAUAUGUUAUUUUCUUCUCUUCAAUUCAUGCUCUGAUAGUAUUUUUUGUUUAAGUCAAAGUACCUAAGUCAUGUCAUUUAUAACUACUUGCAUUGUCUUGUCGCCAUCUACCUGUUAAAUUUGGUAAAUUGUGAAGAAGAAUAUGGAUUUGAUAUCUUCAGUGUUUCUUCUCACUGAUGCUACAUGGAAGAUAGAUUCACAUGUUUGUGAAUAACUAUAUAUUUUUAUUUCUCUCAGUUUUAUGGAUUGUUGAAGGAUUGAGCUUGCGUAUCUUAGAGAGAGUGCCUAAUGUGGUAUAAAAAGAGAAUCUCUUGAAUGAUCUUUUUUUAAGAGUCUUAAAAUGAUCAGUGGAGUAGUUUUGGUUUAGCCAUACUAGUGUGUGAUGAUGGAUAUAUAAGAGAAAUGACACAUUUAAAAAAAUUGAUUAGCAGCUAUUUUGUUGUACUUUACUGAGCAGUUAAAAGUGUUGCUUUUUCAUUAUGCAUGUGAUAGUGUGAUUGGAGCUUUGCAUUUCUGUCUUAAACAGCCUUCAUCUGAAUUGUGCAGAUUUUACCUGAGAAAUACAGCUAUUAUAGAAGGUUUGAUCAGGAUCCAAACCAUGCCACAGACUGUGUCAUUUGUAUGACUUCAAUCGACCUUACUCAACGCUCUAAUGAUUGCAUGGUAUUAAAUCAAAUGCUUAACACUUCAAUUACUUCACAGGAUGACAUCUUUAAAAGUAUAUGUUUUGAUUGAAUAUUUUGUAAUCUAGGUUACACCAUGCGAUCAUUUCUUUCAUUCGGGCUGUUUACAAAGAUGGAUGGACAUAAAAAUGGAGUGCCCAACCUGCAGACGUCCUCUUCCACCAGCUUGAGGAGAUUGUAUGACCUUUCCAUCCAUUUUUUCAAGGACCAACUGACAUUGCUCAACCUGCUAACUGGGGUAAAUGGCUUCUUACAGACUCUUAAUUGCUGUUUAACUUUGCUAACUUACUGGGUCGGUUCUUUUUUUCCACCUUCCAAUUUUAAUGUAAUGUCAGAUCCUUCAAGUAUAUAAAUCUUGUUGGGAAUCAAAGUAACGGUUAACGUCGGGACAUUUUCAAAUAGUUUUAUAAUAUGGAUUAUGCAUAUUUUGCAGUAGAAUAUACUUUCUUGUCCCUGAAAUCCAACUUAGCUGGUAGGGAUAUUAGCUUAGGUGACUAUGAGCUCUCUGGUUCGACUCUCAAGCCCUCCCUUUUCCCAUUUCCCCCUUGAUAAUGUUUGAAGUCUCUCAUUGAACCAAAAGAAUAUACUUUCUCAAAUAUCUGUGUCUGCAAAUUUUUUUGGCAUUUCAAAAGGGCUAAACUUGCAUCUAUACACGUUUAAGUUUUUUAACAUGUCUCACAUGCUUAAUUUGCCAAAUAAAUUUUGUCAAUGUCCUGAAGUUUUUGUUUUCUUAGAGAAGGCAGCUUUCUCCUUUGCACUUGAGAGCUCAUUGCAGAACAUGUAAUACCUAAAAUCUCUCUAUAACAACUUUACUAGCCCCAUACUAAAAUCUUGCAUUAAGCUUUUCUUCUUUUACUUUUUGUUUCUUUAAGAAGGAAAAAAAAAAAAAACCAAGAAGCUUCUAACAACAAUAUAUUAUCUCAGGUUGGAGGAAUGGACCAGAUUCGGCUUAUUACAUAUUUGGAAAAAGGGCGAGAACUAGGUGUAGUUAUGGAUGCACUUGCUGACCUGCAAAGUUGUAUUGUGAUGUACAUUAUAGUAGUGUAACAUUUUACUGAAAAUUGAUGAUUCUUCUUACUUUUUUCCCAGCGUUGUCAUUUUCCCCACCCAAGUUUCAUAGGUAUUGGAGACCUUAGGUGAUCCCUCUAUGGGGAAAGAAAAAAAAGGGUACAGUUCUAAGCUUACAAUUCAAGGUAGGUGCAUUGGUGUAUAUUCAGUUACAGGAUUGAUAUGAGAGUAAUGGACUAAUAGUCAUUUUUCACCGAAAUCUUUAAAAAAAAAAAAAAAAAUUCAGACUGCUGUUAUAUCCACUGCUCCCAGUGACGCCACCUCUGCCAUCACGGCCGGCACUGCCACUCCCUAUGUUUGUUUCCACCGGCACUGUUGCAUUAACGACCCUAUUUCUCUUACCUCAAUCUUAUGAUGGCUUUUUUAGUUGUUGUAUGAUGAAACGAUGGGUUAUGGCAAUGAGGGUGCAAGGUGAAGCAGAGCUGAAGAUAGGGAAACAGAUGCGCAGAUAGGCUAGCAGAGCAAGUCUUGCACAGGUCCACCAGCGGGAAAUUUCAGAGUUACAGGAUCCACCGGCGGGAUUGAGGAAUCUGCUUGCAGAUGGCAUUGUUGGAGUGGCAACCCCACGUUUUAGUCUCUUGUUAACGUGCUGUAGCCCUUCCUAGGACCACCCACCCACCAAACCCCCCCCCCCCGGGGCCCCAACCCAAAAAAAAGUGGAGGAAACCAUGGAUCAGCAUCUAGCUCAUCGACAAGAAUGUUGAAGUGACAUUGAAAGCCAUUGAAAUUAAAUGAAUUCGAGACUUGGUAGUGUCAUCCCGGAAAGGGUCCAAUGGUGCACGACUCCAGAGUAGUUGGGUUCAAUGCAAUCAUCGAACAUUAGGGGAUUACAUUAAAAAAAAAAAGGUUAAAUAAGUUGAGCCAGAUGAACAAAUAAAAUAGCAUUAUGGUAGUGGAUUUUUAGGAAGUGGAUUUCUUGAAAAUCCAGUUCAUAUUCACAGCUCAAAGGUUUGAUUUCUCGAUUCAAAUUGAAUUGCCAAGAAGUCGAUUUCACUAUUGCAUGAUCACCAAUAAUAAUUAUAUUUCGUUAAUUUUGAAUAAAAUUGGCAAUAUUCACAGGCUGGCAAAAGGCAGCUUAUCAAGAUACAUUACUGUCUCCUAAUGGGAAUGAGUGUUGCAGUAUCUAUUUGCUAGGGAUCUCCUAAUUGGCAACUUCUAUACGAGUUUAUCAGGAUGCAUUCUCAAAGUUGGUAAAUGUGUAUCCUUGAUGAACACCAUUAAAAGUAUGAUUUAACACAGUUGAUCAGGACUUGAUGAAAAAACUACUGGGAGAAAUUAACACAGAUUAGAUCUUGGUAGAGUGUUAUAUGAGUUCUUGGUUAGUAAUAAGCACCAGCUUUGAAAACAUGUUAAAAGGAAAGGGUGGCUUCAGAUGUUUGAUGUGACAAAUGAGCUGAUAAUUUGAAACUUCGGGUAUCAACUAUCAAUCAACAUUAACAUCUACUCAUACAAACGUUGCCAUGGACAAAUCAAAAGUUUCAAGAUGAGAGCAAAUUUGCAAGACAAACUUCAAUCAAAUCAUUUACAGGGCCCCAGCAAAACCAACAUGGAUUUUGUUAUUUUGCUCGCUGGUUGAGAUGACUAUAGUUGCUGCUGAAGUUAGCCACUGGGAGGUGAAGACAGUGGUGUUGGGGCAGGAGGAGUACCAGAACCACCACAGUGAUAGUCAAAGCAUUCCACAGGAUGCUCAUACACUGCACUGCAUUCCUUCUUGGUCCUCUGAAGAGGCUUUUCCAGCAAACAGUUUCGACGGUCAUCAAACGCAAUGCCUCUGGAUGUCAAGUUCAUGCAAAUGCCUUCCUCCUCGCAGAAGAAGUUAUAAGAAUAUGUGAAAUUGGACAAAUUAGGCAAUACACAAACUCCAGCAGGCACGUCUCCGGUAAACAUGUUGUGAGCUAAAUUGAGGAGCUCCAAGUGAGCUAAUCCUGCAAGGCUGUAAGGUAUUGGACCAACUACUUUGUUGGAGCUCACAUCUAGUACCCUAAGUUUGUAUAGGUAUCCAACCUCAGGUGGCAGGCACCCUGUUAAGCUAGUAUUGAUCAGGAGCAAUUCCUCUAAAGUGUUUGCAAAGUUGGCUAUGCUUGGAGGAAGGCAGCCUCCAAAUUUGUUAUUCGCAAACACCACAACAGAUGCUGAGCUCAAGCCUAAAUUUGGUGGUAUGACAGAAGUAAAGAGAUUGUUGUUGAGAAAAACUGCAUCCAGUUUUUUGGCAAAGAGUUGAGGAGGUAACGGCCCUUCAAACUCAUUAAAGCGAAUAUCAAGAAACUUCAGCGUCGGAAGAGAAAGUACAACAGAAGGGAAAGGGCCUACAAAUCUGUUGUUACUGAGGUCGAGCUCAAAGAGUAGAGUAAGGUUUGCUAAUGAUUGAGGGAGGAUGCCACAGAACCGGUUGCUAUUGAGAUGAAUCAAUGCAAGGUCUGAGAGAAGGCCUAGUUCCUCAGGCAGAAAACCAGCAAUAUCAGCAAAGUUGAGGUCAAUGCCAGCAACAACUUGUAUUUUGGUAUUGUCAGGAUAAGGGGCACAGUAGACUCCUGUGUAAUUGCAUACUGAAGGGCCAAUCCAGUUUGAAGUGAAGUUUUUAGGGUCAGAAUAAAUUACUUUCUUCCAAGCUUGGAGAGCCACAUACGCUUGUUGCAGUCUGGGAUUUAUUGUGGCUUUAUUCGUGGGGUGAUGUCUGUGGUGUUGGUGGUGGCGGGUGGAUGAGUAACCAUGUUUAGCAAAGCUGUUGAAGGAUGAGAGGAUCAGCACUAAGAGAACCAUGGCGUGAGCUAGAAUGAAGGCAAACGAAGCCAUUGCUGUAGAAAGGCCUCUCAAUUCAUUAAGGUUGCUACUGCUCUGGGGAUUCCCUGAGUUUUAUACAGACAAGAUCCACAACAGCACAUGUUACAACCACCAAAUACAGCGACCUUUAACUGUCACAACUGAUAGCCAAGAUGAUCAUUAUGCCUUCCGAGGUUUCCAGGUCUAUGUUGGAUGGCCUGUGCAUAAUUUAUCUAGUACUAUAAUUUGAUGCCUUGACAUGAACUCACCUGCUGCUUUCAACUGUGAUAGGCAUAUGCAUUCUCUGUUUGAUGUGGUCACCAGUAUCUUCAUUUUUUCCUAAUGCACUAUCUGCACAAGAUUGGGCAGAAGAAAAUAUGCAUGAUAUGGACUUUCCUCCUUCCAUGUAAAUAACCUGUUUUCUGAAGUGGAAGUGGAGAAAGACAGCUUCAGCCUCCAGACAGAGACAGAAGGGAAGUGAAAGGAACAAAUGUUUUCUUCAGUUGGAAGGGAUAAGCAUGUUGUCUCUGCGAGGUCUUCCAAUUGUCAACCCAGGGGGGUAAACUUCAGCAUCUAGCUAAAUAAGUUCUGGUCAAAACUGCAUUUGAACACAAAGAAGAAUGGUGGAGAUUUUGUACAGACCACAGAAAAUAGCAAUCCAACUGCUCUUCUAGAUAGGAAACCAGGGUCUGAACAAAUCAUUCCCUCCGUUGAAGAAUCAUUACUAAUCACUGUUGCUGGAUGGAUCUAAUACCAUUAAACAUGAAAUAUAUAUAAUGCCAACCUUAAAACCUAGUAUUCUUAACUGAUGCUUGAUACAUAAAACGCCAACCAUUCUAUGAGUCAGUUCAAUAGUGAUGAGGAAUUCUAUGAUUGCUACCGAAAGGUCAGAGAUGAUGUCAUGUUGGAGUUUCUUUACCAAAGCCUAAGGUGAACAAUCAUGGUCAUUCGUGAGGACUUUUUUUAAGUUUUGGGUCGGACACAGGUGCAAUUGGGUUCACUUGUGGAGCUUUGCCAUGUUUCCUGAUGAAAAUUGUGGGGCAAGAAAAGAAGAGACUGAGAAACAAGAAAACUAGCUCAUAAUAGAGAACCUUUGAUGUAAGGGAAUUUCGCCAAUUCGAUCCCUAAACAUUUUCACUUAAAUCAAUUUCGUCCUUAAUGAAAUAUUUUAACCAAUUUAGUCCCUUAACUAGUUUUUUACUUUCAAUGUAGGACUUUUACUCAAUUUGCGUGGACCAACGGAGGUAUAAUUGUCACACUGGUUUAAUCUUUUACAAUUUACCGGCGAAACAGAUUAGAGAUCAUUACGAGGAAGAGAUCAUUGGCUGACAAAACAGAGAAGAGAGCCUGAUGUCAGCUAGUGCCUGCACCCUCACUCUUUUCCGGUUCCUUGGUCUUGCGAGGAAGAGAUGGCACAAGCCGUCGGAGUAAAUGGGAUCAGUGGGUUCAAAAGAACAGUUUGAACAAGUAGGUGAAUUGAGCCAGUUGCAAAGAGGAGAAGUGCAGGGAAGCGGGUGAUAGCGGUACGUACAGUAAGAGGGGUUGCUGCAGGUGCAUUCCUCCUAAUUGAAAGAGGCAGUGAGGUCAACGAGUAGUUAUGUGGGCUGCUGGUAAGGGGUUCUCAAGUAAAGUGUAAUGGAAUGGAAAGCUUAUCUAAGGACAGGGGCAGGAACCAGCUAAUUGAAACAAUGAAGGCGUGAAGAUCAGCAGAAGAAAGCGUGAUCACUGGACCAGAAGUCAUCAAAGGCGUGAACCAAGAACCACGCCUUUCCUGGGUUUCAGCCUUCAUAACAGAAAUUCAAAACGCGCAGCAACUUGCAGAUGCUUGAGACACGUGUAGCGCCCUCAGUGGUCUAGCUAGAAUUAGUUAGGAUUUGUUAGUAUUAAAGAGCAGGCAUGUCUGCUCUGUGAGGGAGUUUUUUGAAAUCAUUCUUACGGAUUCAUCUGUAUUGGCUUGAGGAGCAAUCCUCAGCUUCCCUCCCAAUUUUCCUUCAAUUCUUUCCCCUUCUUAGCUUUUACCGCCAUUUCUGUUCUUGAAAUUGUCAUCAGAAUUUGAUUAAUAAAGUUCAGAUUCUUACAGCAAAUUAUUCUAUUGAUUCAUUGUUUAUUGAUUCAUCCAAUUGGAUUCAUUCUCCCUAGUUCCUGCAAAGGGACUCUGGCUUCUCUGGUUUCUGGUCCAUAACAGUGGUAUCAGAGCUAGCUACGAGCCAUUGGGUAUAGAUAUACACAUAUAAAAAAAAAUGACUAAAAGCCAAGACGAAAUGAGGAAGGAGAUCACUGAGCUAGGAAGUGUGGUUAGAACUUUCGCUAACAGGAGUGAUGGACUGGAGCAGGCUGUCAGGGUCAUAGAGCACAGACAGGAGAAUACUGAAAAGACACUCAAAAGCCUGGAUCAGAAGUAUGAAGGCAUGAUGAACAUGAUGGCACAAAUGCUGGCAAAGUUAAGCGACAAAGGGAAGGAUGUGGAAGGCACCAGCUCAGAAUCUAGCUUAGUGCAUAAGGAGGAUAACAGGAGGAAGGAGGAGCAGAAGGGAGCUAUGGAUAGAUCUGAACCACAGGGUCACAGAUCCUUCACCAGGCUACCUAAGGUGGACCUGCCAUCAUUCACUGGGGAAAAUCCUAGGGAAUGGAUCAGGAAGGCUAAUAAGUACUUCAAAAUCAAUGGAGUGGAGGAGGAAAUGAAAUCUGAGGUUGCAGAACUUUAUUUCAGGGAUAAGGCAGAUAUCUGGUUUCAUGGUGUAUUCAAUGGAAGGGAGGAUAUUCCAUGGGAGGAGCUCAGCAUUGCACUUUGUGAGAGGUUUGGAGAUGGCUCCCCUGAAGAAGCUAUAGAAGAAUUCAACAAACUGAUGCAGACAGGUUCAGUAACUGACUACCUGGAGAAAUUCGAAAUGCUCAAAGCCCUGGUAAUGCCUUCCCUCCCUCAUCAGCAAGAUUGCUAUUACAAAACUUGUUUUCUAAGUGGAUUAAAAGAGGAAAUAGUAACUAUGGUAAAACUGGCCAAACCUAAAACACUGGCAGAUGCUGUAGAAGCUGCCAAACUGCAGGAGAGAAACCUGAGGGCUCUACAGAAAAUCCACAAAGGCCCUUCCUAUAAUCCCAGCUACCAGAAACCCCUGUUUAAAGUCUCGCAACACCCUAAACUCCCUGACAAAACCCCAAGCUACCCCAAACCACCUGAUAAACAGAUUCCUAAAACUUCCAAUAGCCACUAUACUUCCCAAAACCAAUUCAAAAGACUCACACCAGCAGAGCUCAACCUUAGGAGGGAAAAGGGACUUUGCUUCAAAUGUGCUGAACCAUAUACUUUUGGUCAUGUUUGUAAGCAAUCCCAUCUAAACUUGUUAAUUAUGGAAGAAGAGGAGGUACCAGCCACUGAGGAAGAAGGGGGGAGGAAGGGGGAGACUGAGGUAUUCUGUGACUGUAUUGAGGGAGAAUUAGAAAAUGAGCAUAUAGAAGUUUCUAUUCAUGCUUUGGCAGGGGGGAGUGAGCACAAAACUAUCAGGAUAAAGGGGAUGAUUAAAGGGAAGACCAUUACUGCACUGGUUGACAGUGGCAGCACACAUUGCUUCGUGGAUGAGCAAAUGGCUAAGGUUCUGAACUUGGAAACUAAAGGAGGGGCUCUGUCAGUUAAGGUGGCCAAUGGAGAAAGAUUGCAGUCCAGGAGCAUCACCAAACCUGUGACAUGGAAGAUGCAGGGAUAUGAAUUCCAGCAUCACUUCAAUACUCUAAGACUAGGGGGUGCGAUAUGAUACUAGGAGUUGAUUGGCUAGCUAGAUACAGUCCAAUGGAGUUUGACUUCAGAGGACUAAGUAUGAGGUUCAAAAAGGGAAAGCAGCAGGUUGAACUAAAGGGGGAAGGCAAUGCAGUACAGUUGAAGCUGAUAAGGGGGAGUAGGCUAUACAAAUGGUCCAGGAAACAGGCUUAUGGAAUCAUGGCACAGGUGAGUGCAGUGGUGGAUCAGGAUUCAGACCAGAAGCCAAUCCCACCAGAAGUAGAGAAGCUACUGCAGGAGUUUAGAGAUGUGUUCCAGGAACCUCAGGGAUUACCCCCUGAGAGGAGCCAAGAUCACCACAUCACCCUUCAGGAAGGGGCAAAGCCAUUCCAAAUCAGACCAUACAGGUGCCCUUACAUCCAGAAAACUGAGAUUGAAAAGCUGGUACAGGAAAUGCUCCAGACUGGGAUUAUCCAACUAAGCAGCAGCCCUUUUGCCUCACCAGUACUUCUAGUCAAGAAGAAGGAUGGCUCCUGGAGGUUCUGUGUGGAUUAUAGGCAGCUCAAUGAUCUGACAAUCAAGAAUAAAUUUCCAUUGCCUCUCAUUGAUGAGCUGUUAGAUGAGCUGCAUGGAUCCAAAUACUUCACCAAAAUUGAUCUCAGAGCUGGAUAUUUUCAGAUAAGGGUAAGGGAGGAAGACAUUCCCAAAACAGCUUUCAGGACACACCAGGGUCUAUACGAAUUCAAAGUCAUGCCAUUUGGGCUGACAAAUGCCCCUGCAACCUUCCAAGGCUUGAUGAAUCAGGUUUUUCAAAAACAACUCAGGAAAUAUGUUUUAGUGUUUUUUGAUGAUAUUCUGAUCUACAGCCCUACUCUAGAAGAACAUGAGAAGCAUGUCACUGAAGUCCUGGAGAUUCUGAGGCAACACCAGCUCUAUGCAAAAGAAAGUAAAUGCUCCUUUGCUCAACAGCAAGUGGAGUAUUUGGGACACAUAAUCUCAGCAGAAGGAGUCAGGGCAGACCCCCAGAAAAUUACCAGCAUGUUGCAGUGGCCAAAACCAGUGAACACCAGACAACUAAAGGGAUUUCUUGGUCUGACAGGUUACUACAGGAAGUUUGUCAAAGGAUAUGGAGCUAUUGCAAAACCAUUAACCACCCUCCUCAAAAAGGAUGGCUUCAACUGGGGGGAGGAAGCUGAGGAUGCUUUUCAGAAGCUGAAGUUGGCCAUGUGCAGCACCCCUGUGCUGGCCCUCCCAGACUUCUCCCAGCCCUUUAUAGUGGAGACAGAUGCUUGUUAUGGGGGAAUAGGAGCCGUCCUAAUGCAAAACAGAAGACCCCUAGCCUAUCUCAGCCAAGGCUUGGGACAGAAGAAUCUGGGGUUAUCAAUUUAUGAGAAGGAGUUGCUGGCCUUGGUCACAGCAGUCACCAAGUGGAGGCACUACUUAGAAGGAUAUCAUUUCAUCAUCAACACUGACCAUCAAAGCUUGAAAUAUCUACUGGAGCAAAGGAUCACCACCCCUCUCCAACAGAAGUGGUUGACCAAGCUGAUGGGCUUGAGUUAUGAGAUUUGCUAUAAAAAGGGGAAGGAGAAUGUAGUGGCUGAUGCACUAUCCAGGAAGGGAAGGGAUGAAGCUGAAUGUGCAGCCAUAUCCACAGUCACUCCAGAAUGGAUGAAAGAGGUAACAGAUAGCUACCUGGGUGAUGACUGGGCACAGGAUAUCAUCAGAGGACUGUUAACACAUCCAGAGCUGAACUCAGAUUUCACCUAUCAGAGUGGAAUCCUAAGGUAUAAGGGGAGAAUUGUGGUAGGCCAGGGGGGAGAGAUAAGGAAGAAACUCAUCUCCACACUUCAUGACUCUCAGCUAGGAGGUCAUUCAGGGAUACAGGCCAGUUGGAUGAGAGCAAAGCAGCUGUUUCACUGGCCAGACAUGUUUAAGGAAAUCAAAACAGCUAUACUACAAUGUGAUACUUGCAGGAGGUGCAAAGAUGAACGUGUGGCUUAUCCAGGCCUCCUCCAACCACUACCUAUCCCACAACAUUCCUGGAGUCACAUCACCAUGGAUUUCAUAGAGGGACUGCCUAAAUCAGAGGGGAAGGACACCAUCAUAGUGGUGGUGGACAGGUUCACCAAAUAUGCCCAUUUCCUGGGCCUCACUCAUCCUUUUGAUGCUUCUAAGGUAGCUCGACUUUUCUUAGACCAUAUCAGCAAACUGCAUGGCAUGCCCCAAAGCAUAGUCUCAGAUAGGGACAAAGUCUUCAUCAGUCAUUUCUGGACUGAAUUGUUCACAUUACAAGGAGUAAGGUUGGACAUGAGCACUGCUUACCAUCCACAGACAGAUGGCCAAACAGAAAGGGUCAACCAAGUCUUGGAAAUGUACCUCAGGUGUAUGUCCCACUUGGAGCCUAAAAGAUGGAACACUUGGCUGUCAUUGGCAGAAUGGUGGUACAAUACUACCUACCAUACUGCCAUCCGGAUGACCCCUUUUGAGGCCUUAUAUGGAUCUAAACCCCCUCAACUAGCCUUAGGCCCCUAUGAGCAAGCUAAGGUGGCAACAGUGGGUGAUUACUUAAGGGACAGAAAGCAGAUGGACGAGCUGCUACAACAUAAUCUGAAGGCUGCUCAAGAAAGGAUGAAAAAAUAUGCUGAUGAACACAGGAGUGAGAGAGAAUUCCAGGUAGGUGAUUGGGUCUACUUAAGGUUACAACCUUACAGGCAGUCGACAGUAAUGAUGAGGAGUAACACCAAGCUAUCUGCUAAAUAUUUUGGCCCCUACCUCAUUAAGGAGAAAAUUGGUAAGGUGGCCUAUAAGCUUAAAUUACCUACUGAGUCCAGGGUACACCCUGUGUUCCAUGUCUCCUUGUUGAAAAGGAAACUAGGAGACAGGACCACACCUAUCUUACAGCUUCCAGAUACUGACGAAAGGGGACUGUUCAGAGUUGAACCAGAAACUUUGCUUGGUAGGAGAAUGAUCAAAAGAGGGAAUGCUGCUGUUUCACAAUGGCUAAUACAAUGGUGGGGAACUGAACCUGCAGAUGCAACUUGGGAGGAUGCUGUGACGAUCAGAGAGAAGUUUCCUCAAUUUCAACCUUGAGGACAAGGUUUGCUACGAGGGGGAGGUAUUGUAAUGGAAUGGAAAGCUUAUCUAAGGACAGGGGCAGGAACCAGCUAAUUGAAACAAUGAAGGCGUGAAGAUCAGCAGAAGAAAGCGUGAUCACUGGACCAGAAGUCAUCAAAGGCGUGAACCAAGAACCACGCCUUUCCUGGGUUUCAGCCUUCAUAACAGAAAUUCAAAACGCGCAGCAACUUGCAGAUGCUUGAGACACGUGUAGCGCCCUCAGUGGUCUAGCUAGAAUUAGUUAGGAUUUGUUAGUAUUAAAGAGCAGGCAUGUCUGCUCUGUGAGGGAGUUUUUUGAAAUCAUUCUUACGGAUUCAUCUGUAUUGGCUUGAGGAGCAAUCCUCAGCUUCCCUCCCAAUUUUCCUUCAAUUCUUUCCCCUUCUUAGCUUUUACCGCCAUUUCUGUUCUUGAAAUUGUCAUCAGAAUUUGAUUAAUAAAGUUCAGAUUCUUACAGCAAAUUAUUCUAUUGAUUCAUUGUUUAUUGAUUCAUCCAAUUGGAUUCAUUCUCCCUAGUUCCUGCAAAGGGACUCUGGCUUCUCUGGUUUCUGGUCCAUAACAUAAAGUGACCAAAAGUGAAGCCGAGUGAAAGGAUCCUGGAGAAUGGGAGCUAAAAUAGCUGAAGAAGAAAGGUGAAUGCACAGAAAUAGAACGAAGGAGAAGAACUGGAGCUUGAACUUAAAGAAGUGGCAUUGCUUCUCUUGGGGAUUGAAUUCCAUGGUAUGGAGUGGAAUGGGGUAGAGACAAAUUUGCAGUGUAGGUGGAAAGAAGGAAGAAUUAGCCAAAUCUUUGGAGCCCGAUGAAGGAAUUAAAAAAAAAAAGCUCCUACCAGCAGGGUUUUGGCUAAUUGAUCAUGACAUCCGUCCUGAGUCUUCAAGCAUCAUCCCUUUGAGACUCUUAGCUAACCAGAUUGCUGUCUCCCUUGGAGAAGCCUUAUUUUUUCCAAAAGGUUUUAGAACAACAGCAAGCUCUUCUAGUCUAUUAUGCUGAAGCAAAUCUGCAGACAAUUCUAGGAGCCCUUCUAGUGCCUCUGCCCUCUGCUGGAAAGAUUUGACAUCCAAAGUUUCCUUUGCUGGUGUUGUUGGGGCUUCCUCCUCUGCUACAGGAGAAUUCAUUAUUGCUGGUUCUGAAGAAUCUAACUUUGGAGCUGGAGUGAAGUGAUUGGUCUGAGCUUUCACGUCCACUUCUUUAGUGUUUGCAUUAUCUGAGAGGUUUGAUUUUAAACUCAGAGUCUUAGAGCAACCAGGAGAUUUUGGUGCAGUGGUUAGGUUUUUAAUAUCAACAUCAUCUGUCACCACAUUUAUUAGCUUCCCCACAUCUAAGUUUCUAUCCAGUGUAUCAAUCACUGGUUGAUCACUUCCAACUCGGAAGCUGCUAUGCCGAAUGACGUGAAUCACAUCAUCAAAAGUUGGUGGAAGAUGAUUACCAGUUGUUUUUUCGAUAAUGACAUUUUGCUGAACCGUUCCCAUAUCUGACAGCAAAUUUUUUUGGCUGGUGGCACAAGAUAGAUACCAAGAGUAGUGCUCUCAGAUACCGAAAGUUGGAGUUCCUCAGAUAAAACAUCAAUUCUUCAUCAGUGGGAUCAAAUUUACAUCCAACAGGGAUUUCAAUACGGGCUCUUUUUCCUCCACUAUCGUCGUUUCCACGGGCUGAAGCUGCUGAUGGUUUCUCCAUUUUUAGCAAGCCACGCAGUCAGCCGAAUUGCAAGCAAUGGCCGAUAGGGCUAUUCUUUCCUUUCCCUUUCCAAGCCUCUAGAAGAACAGAAAGGUAGUAACUGUAGAAUAGUAACCCAAGUAGUUGCAGGCACUGGUUGGCUCAGGAACCUUUAAAUCCUUCUUCUCCAAUCAGGCCGUGGGAGAUACUUUAGUGUGUCAGGAAUCAAGACCACCCGCAUGUUGUAAUCUUUCACGUUGAUGAUUUCAAUGGACUUGAGAGCUUAAAACUUUACUAACUUCUUUUCCUCAUCUAGCUCCUCAAUUAUCUCCUUUGCAGAUCUCUGUUUUUCAUUUUUUUCUUUACAUUUUUUUCUCCAAUUUCUAUGAGCCCCUCAUGGGAUCUUGUGUCUCCACUAAGGAAGCAUCAGCUCCAGCCUCGAUGUAACGAUGAGCACGAUAAAUUGCAUCCGAGAGACCGCGUGCUUCUGAUGUAGCACGUGCAUCUCCAAGAAGAACCAGUGCUACUUGCAAAUAGAAUUUAGAAAUUGUGAUGAGUCAUAGUGUCUUCAAAUCCAGAUGUUAAUCUGUUUCGCCGGUAAAUUGUAAAAGAUUAAACCAGUGUGACAAUUAUACCCCCGUUGGUUCACGCAAAUUGAGUAAAAGUCCUGCAUUGAAAGUAAAAAACUAGUUGAAGGACUAAAUUGAUUAAAAUAUUUUAUUAAGGACAAAAUUGAUUUAAAUGAAAAUGUUUAGGGACCAAAUUGGCAAAAUUCCCUUGAUGAAAUUGCUGGACUAUAACCUUGAUGAGUGCAGAACUCGAGAUUCAGAAACAACGGGAAUUAAAUCACAAGCAAAAAAUUCAAAAAAAAAAAAAAAAAAGCAAUCCUUGACCUGAAAAGGGUGCCAGAGAGAGUGUUCCAAGUAUCUUUCAGAAGAGAAUCUUACCCCUCAGAAAACUCGGAUUACAUAAUAGACAGUGUUCCAAGUAUUUCUUUUCAGAAGAGAAAACUUGGAUUACAUAAUAGACAGAAUGUUCCAGGUAUUUUUCAGAAGAGGAUCUUACCCCUCAGAAAACUUGGAUUACAUAAAUUUUACUUGGUCAGAUCAAUACAGUAACAAAAAUGGACCGUCCCUUCCGGGACAUCAUCAGGUAAGAAAUGGACCAAAGAUCCAAAAUUACAUACCUUCUGCUUUAUGUCAUUUUUUCUUUCCCCCCUAGCACAAGAUUAUCUUUCGUCUUCCCUUCAGUUUUUGACCACAUAGACAUUAGUUUCUUCUGCAUCAGCACUUAAAAUAAAAAGAAAAACGAUACUACAGGCAACAGGAGAACAGACAUAACACUUACAAAACACAGGUGGUGUCAAAUUCUCAAGAACGGCAUGAGGUAAAACAGUUUAUUCUUCUCAAAAGAACACUCUCAGAAGAACACUAAACAACACGCGGGUAUAAAGCCCAAGUUGCACAAGCUUCAAAUAAAAGUUUUGAAACUUCCAAUAGGUAUCACUACCAUAUAUUACACCAUCCCGGAGUACUAAAUACUGCUAAUGACAAGUAAAAUAUUGUUCUCCAGAAUUAUUUAAAGCACAAAUAGGUGGACCACCUAGACAAUCUUAAGACUCAUCUUCGUCAUCAUCAUCACCAUCACACCACGCUCAAAUUAACCACCACCACCACCAGAUCCGUAUUUCUUGCCAAAGACAAUGAGCUGCAACUUGUCGUAUCCAGCUAAAACACCAGCACCAGCAACAGCACGCAAGAUGUUCGCUCCUGCACCAUUGAAGAGUGAUUUGGCUCCCUCUUUUCUUAUGAUCUGAGAAAAUGCAUCCACUGUCCCCUUGUACUUGACAGCCUCGCCAGAGGUCAUCAUCAUUCUUCUUCGCACAGUAUCAAUUGGAUAAGAAGCCAAUCCAGCCCCAAUGGUAAUACCCCAUCCCAGCAAGAAACUAGCAAAGAAACUAUCCUGUAAAUAACAACCAAAAUAUACAAUAGUGAGGCCCCAAUGCACAACCAUAUAAAUGAUCCACAUAGCAUAAGACAUGAAACAGAUGUAAUGAAGCAAUAAUUAGUGCUUUUCAGCUAUUCAAAUUCACAUUGGUUACACAUCAAUAGCACCAUAGACAUAGAGAAAGCCAAGUACUUUAAUCAGAUACAGCAGGUAAAUCAUAAAAUUGCUUGUAAAAAGAGACAUUAAAAACUUUUUAAAAAUUUUCUACAGUAUGCUGAGCAACUGAAGAAUGAAAAAGAAAUUAGCAACUAAAGAUAACAAUAGGGUGAAGACUAAAGAUGCUGAGACGCAAGUGUCGAAGAACCCAGGGAGUUUUACUUGCCUGAAGAUCUCCCACAAGGAGAACAGGUUUAAGUGAAUCAUACAUUCCAAAAUACAGUCCACGGUAAACAAUGAUUCCAACACAGGAAAGAGUGAAUCCACGAUAGAGCCCUGCAAUACCAUCGGACUGGAAUGUUUUCUUGUAAACAUCAAUUAAACCAUUAAACUGCCUCUCGCCACCCUUUUUAACUGACUUAGCAUCAUUUGCCAAACGUGUUCGGGCGUAAUCCAGGGAAAAGACAAACAAAAGAGAAGAUGCACCAGCUAAGCCACCAGAUGCCAAAUUCCCUGCAAACCACUUCCAGUAACCAUCCCUGUCUUUCUUGAAGUUAAAAAGGCUCUUGAAGUAAUCUCUGAAAGCAAAGUUCAGAGCCUGAAAUGAAACAGAAAACACAAGCAAAUGAAGAAGAAAAGAAUCCUAAAAUUUUAAAUUCCAUACAGUCAGUCUAACAAUCAGCAUAGAAAAAUUAAGCACCUUCAAUUAAACAUACACGGAUACUAUCAGAUUAACUUUAAUGGGUAUACAUAUCAAGUAGUAUAAAAUUGACCUCUUUAUCCACGCCCAAAGAUCAACUUUAAUUGGUGUAGCAUGGUAGGCCUAUCAAUUUGAAUGAGCAUAAGUACUAAAUGCUGAAGGAGACCAAUAAAGGCUUAAAGGAAGUUUACCUGAGUAGGGAAGUAUCUGAUCACAUUGGCAGUGUUGCCUCUCCAAAGGGCCAGGACACCUUCGUCCUUGAUAGUUCGGGCAAAACAAUCAGUGAUUCCCUUGUAUCGUUCACUCAGGCGGCCAGCUUUAAUCAUCUCAUCUUGGUUCUGAAUUAAAAGUUUGACUCUCUCAAUUGGAGCAGCAGCAGUUUUUGACACAGCAGCAGAAACCCCUCCCAUGAGGAAAUCCACCAUAAAACUAGAAAAGCUUCUCUCAUUUGCAGCUGGUAUCACAAUUGGGGACAGUUGUGAAACAAUUUCGAGCCCAGAACCAUGAAAGGCUGACAUGAAAGGGCUACAAAGGCCACCAUUGGCAUAUCCAUAGACACUGGAAAAAUUUUGUGCACUAGCAUUUCUAGAAUGCAUAAAAGGAGAAAUUUGAGCAAAAAAAUAAGAUUGCCCAUGCAAUUUUUCAAGUACAGACGGAUGAUGC